Molecule: long non-coding RNA, 47670 nt
Filed under: Coffea arabica (coffee)
Lineage: Eukaryota; Viridiplantae; Streptophyta; Magnoliopsida; Gentianales; Rubiaceae
Description: long non-coding RNA (CARA_LNC005328)
Source: RNAcentral
UGCACCAAAGUAAAGAAGGCAUGGCUUCAAAUCAUCCGAUAAAUGACUGUAACUCAGCUCAAGCGUCUUCAUGCAGUAUUCGUCAUCAAGGACAAUACUGGAAGUUAGACUCUUCGCAACUUCUUCCCAAUAGUCUUCUGCAGUAUUAUCAAGAAUUCCAGCAACAAGAACAACUGUGAGAGGUAAGCCCCUACAUAAUUUUGCUAUUUGAGAUCCAGCUUCACCUAAUGUCGGAGGAAAACCAUCUUUGCCAAAUAGCUUUUUCUGCAGCAACGUCCAACUCUCUUCAUCAGUAAGGUGGCGGAGAUGGUGAGCCUUGGUAUCAGGUUUGAAUUGCAAUUGAAUUCUGCUGGUGAAGAGAAUCCGACUUCCGUUAGCAUCAUCGGGCAAUGCUCUCUCCAGCAAAUUCCAUGCCUUAAUCUCCCACACAUCAUCCAAAAAAAUGAGAUACGUAUUUCUCUUUAAAAGUUUGUACAGCUUGUGAACCAAAUCACUUUCAUCCAUCUCAAGAUAUUCCCCAGGACUUCUAGAAGAAAUACUACAUAAAAGCUGAACUAACAAACUGUGCAUGCUAUACACUUGAGAAACAGUACACCGAGCAAGGAUAUGAAAGUGGCUCAAAAUUAAUGGAUCAUUGCAAACUCUAUUGGCCAAUGUUGUCUUACCAAGUCCAGCCAUACCCACAAUUGAAACAAAAUCCAACAGCUUUGAACCCCUGGUAAGACCAUGAAUAAUUGCCUUUACCUCAUCAUCAAGACCCACCAGAACUUCAUUCAACAUUGGGGUGCGACAUUUUGACUCAAUGCGGAAAGAUUUCUGGGUAGUUCUCUGAGCUCCACAGUCAUGCAUCGUGCUAUCAUAGGUUUCAAGGGCCUCAGUCCUCAAAAGCUGGAUAUCUCUAGCAACUCUUUCCAAAAAUUCAUGUUUAUCACCAACCACGAUAGAGUCAAUGACAAACUCUGCCCUGUGCGCAACCUCCAUAACACGACUCCAAAGAGCUUGGAGUUUUCCAUUCCGGUUGCGCUGGUCUGCUAUCUUGACAAGGAAAGAUCUUAAGAAUAUGAGAUCUUCUAGGACUGUGUGGAUUUGAUCUUUCGGGAAUGCAAUUGAAUCAUCAGUCUCACUACAAUUUUCUAGUUCCUUCAGAUUUUCAAGGAGAAAAUCCAUAGAGCCCAACUCAUUGGUCCUAGGAAAACCAAAUGGCGAGAAUAAUGUCACUGGAUCAGUAACUUCUGCCCUAACAAACUUGAGCACUUUAAGCAAAUGAAAAAGAGCAAGAUCGGUUUCCUUGGCCAAGCCUUCUUCGAUUUGAUUCACAGAAAGAGAGAAAAUUACAACCGCUGCAUCACAGGCCACAACUCCAAUAAGAUUCUUCAUUUCAUGGGAUAGCUCUUUGAACUCCUCCUGAUGCCUGAGAAGGAUUGUCAGGAAUCUUAGCCCCUCAAGGAGUUUUAGUAUUUGAUUCAUAAUCGGAACAAGAAUAUUGGUACAAGAUCUCAGCAGCUCCUUAAUAUUGUGAACGAGACAAUCCAUAAAGUCAGCUACUAGAUGCUUAAUCUUCUCCAGAUCUGAAAUGUCUGAUGAUCUUGAUAACUUUGCAGCCGUCAAGACAUGGAUGUAAGUUUCUCGGAUCCGGGGAUCACCGGGAUUAAUCUUCUCAUCUAUUAGUCGAGAAAUUUGAAGUAUCAUUUCCUUGCGUUCCUCAUAAUUACCUAUGCCUUUGUUAAACCACCAUAUAGAAGCUAGGCGUAAUGUGUUGAUAGACACCACUUCGGCGUGAAUCAAGAGAUCUAUCAAUUGCUGACCCUUGACACAGCAAAGCAUGGCAAAGCGAAUGAAACUCUUCAAGAACAUUAGCUUCUCGUUGAGACGUUUGGAAUCGAAUACGUCAAUUUUCACCACAUUCUCGGAAACAGAAUCGAUGAAAUCAAUAACUAGCUCUGGAUCUCGCAGCCAGUAACAGUCCAGCAGAUAGUUGAUGCACGAUUCGUUGAUAUCUGUUUCGAGAAACAACUUGACUGCUUCCAGGAAUAUGGUGAGCUCACUUUCAACACGAGUCGAAUGAAGCGAUCGAGAAUGAUCCGAGCAUCCGCUGCAAGCAAAUUCAAGAUCUUGCAUUCUCCUGGUAAUCAGAUCUUGAAUUCUUGAAGACGUAACAUCCUUCUCCUUCUCAUCUUGUUCCAAACAGGUUUCAUGGUUCCUCCUCCUCCUACACUUUGUCAGAUACAGAUCAAAGCCUUGUAAUAGUCUUACCCCCGUCUGCAGCCUCCAGAUAAGAUAACCGCACCGUUGGGUUAUACCAUGCAAGCAGCGAAUAUAUUCUAGAGCGAGCUCAAAGCAACUACGGCUACUGCUGCAGGAUAUCUCCAUUAUUGUAUCUUCUAUUCACUCUGAGAUCAAAUUUGUAUCUUGAACAAACAUUAGUUCAAUGUUUACAACUUUCUCAUGAUAUGAAAAUAGUCAAAUGUUGUCGGCAAGACUCCUAAUUUUCCUGGCCUGGCCUGUGGAUACAAUGGGGGCCCUUUCCUGGGGCCUAAAGGGUUAGCUUUUGUCUACUCUCGGCCGAAGUGCGUUUCCAAGCAAACGAUGCCAAGUCUAGAUGCUAAAGCAGUAAAUGUUUCAUAAUACUUGCUGUCCAUUUUCGAUACCUACAAAAACUGUAAAUAAUUUUUACCAGAAUGCAAACACAACAGUCAAAACUGCUCAUAUUAUAUUAAUAUCUUGAACCAUUUUUUCAUCAAUACCAUCAUUAUCCUUGCCAAUGCCAACUCAAUUAGAAGUUUGAGGGCACCUAAAACUCUAGACAUAUUAAGGUAACAUCUAAAUCUAAUCUAAACUACUUAAAGCCGCGAAGCCUGAUGAACAGUUAAUUGUGCCGGUUUCACUGUAAUUGCGCAUCCGAUUGCGUCCUUUUUGGUAUUUUCGAAACUCCUUUUGGAGCCUCCAUGCACCGCUUUUCCUUCUUGUUCCACUUGGAGCCAUUUCUUUUUUCUUGCUUUUUUUCCAUUCUGCCCUCUUCGCUUGGUUCGUUUGUAAUUUGGCAAUCAAUUUUGUCCUUUUGUUUCUUCCAUCUUUUGCUUCGUCCGUUUCCCUUGCUAUCUUCCACUGUUCCCCAUGCCUAUAUUGACCUUGCUUUUUUCCCAUUGUGCCCUCUUCUCUUGGUUGAUUUGUAAUUUGGCAAUGCAUUCCGUCCUUUUGUUUCUUCCAUCUUCUGCUUUGGUCGUUGCUGUAUCCCGGAGCUCUAUAUUAACCAAUUUCGUUAGGAUACUUCAACAAGUAAGAAUACAGGUGUUUAUACUCUAAUUACUCUGUUUGUUGUCAACCAUGAGGGUUCUCAAGAUUGCAGUAACAAAAAAAAAGGGAAAACUGCAUAAAUAGGUCUCACUAUUGAUUUUAGGAGUUUUUCGAAAAAGAUGCAAAAAUUCAUUUUGACUAACUAUAAUUUUUUUGAUUUUUUUUGAUACAACAUAUAAUGUACACUAUCAAAAAAAUGAUUGAAAAAUAUAUCAAGAAAAUAAUUAAAAAAUGAAGAUAAAAUAUUUUUUAAAUUAGUCCAAAAUACAAUGGGGCCUUCGGAGGUUUUCAAAUAAUAAGAAAGUUUUAUAACCAUGACCAAAACCACUAGGGGUUUAGUGUAUUUUACCCUUGAGAUCGGAAUUGUACCUUGACUAAACUUAGUCAAAUAUUGUGGGCAAGACUCUUUCUUCUUUUCCUUGUUGCAGCUUGCAAGACUCUUAUCGUCAUCUAUCGGCUGGAGACUUCAGGUCCGUCUAACUCUAGGGAUGGCAAUUUGUGGGCAACCCGUCCCUAUAAUAAUGAUAUUAUUAAUUAUAAGUAUUAUAUAAUAUAUAUAUUAUUAUAUAUAAUAUAAUUAAUAUUAUUUAUUAUUUUAAUAGUUAUAUAUAUUAACAAAAAACAUUAAUUAAUUAUGUUAAAUUUAUUAAUAUAUUAAUAUAUUUAAUAUAUAUAUAAUAUUAAAAAUCAUUGAAAAAUGUAUCAAGAAAUAUUUUAUAUUCAUGAUUGUAUCUUCCAUUCACUUUUUUGUCAAACUCGACAGAGUGACUUUUGCAAUACGUAAAGUAACUCUACAGGAAAUCAUCAAAAGCCGGUAACUCUUGAAAGUUCCUGAGGACCCUAAAUACCAAUGUUUUCAGAAUCGGACCGGACCGGUCGGUUCGACCGGUUGGACCGCGAACCGGCCAUGUCACCGGUCCGGUCUAAUGCUAAAGCCGGAAGUUCAUGGAGAACCGUUGAAACCCGGACGAACCGGACGAACCGUGCGAACUGUUAAGAACCGUGAACCGGCGGUUUUUUAAAUUCUUCAACAAAAUAUCAAGAAUGGUGUAGCUAAGAUUCGAACCUGGGUCUCCAAGUUUAAAUAUGACAAUCUUACCGCUAGACUGUACUUAAGUUUGUUGAAAAUUCUACUUGACUAAAAAAUAUAUUAAAACAUCAAGUUCUUCUCUUAUUUUUUUUUUUCAAUUUUUUCUUCUUAACCAUUUUUAACCCAAAUAUCCACAACAAGAUUUUCUCAAGUUUUCACCAUUAUUAUCAGGUUAUUAUCUUUAGCAGAUUGUAAACAAGUUGAAAAUUUCAACUUUUCUUGUUUUCCAACAUUUUAGUAAGUUUAAUUUUUUUCUUUUCAAGGUUUUUUUCUAUAUUAUUAUCUUUAGUUGAUUUUUUGCAUUUUCUUCUUUUUCCCCUCAAUUUUCAUAUGUUUCCCUCAUUUUUGUUUUAUUUUUAUUCGAUUAAUUAAGGAUGAAAUUUUUGCAAAAGUAGUGCACAUCCGUGUAGGAAUUGGGUAGGAAUUACAAAUAAUAACAUUGGGUUGGUCAAAAAUAUGGUAGUUGGCACAUAAUCGAAGCUAUUGAUAAUUGAAUUUAAAAUAAUUAAUGGUAUAGGAUCAUUGAAUUUAAUAUAACAUGUUAAUUAGUAAUGUUUAGUAGCAAUUAAUUUUUUAUGUGUUUAACUGUAUAUUUGUUUUUCAAAAAUUUUUAGUUUUUUUUAGUUUGAGCAAUUAGAUUUAUAUUUUUAUAAUAAAAUUUUAACUUUUUCAGCUUAAGUUGAUGAAAUUGUGAAGGUGGUGUGGUUGCUUAUCAUGCCACUGAUAAAAGUUUGCUAUUCAAAUAGUUUGUCUUAACUUGAACUCUUUUAUGGAUUUUUUUAAGGGUUGUAAAAGAAUUUCAAUAUUUAAUUUAUUUAUUUUUUGUGUUUUUAUUUGUGAUAAUUGGUGCACAUUUGGAUUGUAUCUAUUUAUGUUUAUAAUGAAUUUAUGAAAACUUGUGGUGAAUUAUGAUAUUUUAAUUAUAUUUAUCAUUCCAUGUUUUGUGUAUAACUUUUAGAAAAUUUAUUAUUAUCAUAACUUAAAUUAAGUUAUGUUGGUAAAGUUCAAGUGUAGAAUGAAACCUGCUUAGUACUUAACACUAAAAAAAAAAAAAAAAAAAAAAAAAAAAAAAAACUGUGAACCUUUGAACCGGCCGAUUGGACCGGUCAGACCGGUCGAACCGCGAACCGGCCACCUCUCCGGUUCACUGACCGGUCCGAGUUUAAAAACAUUGCUAAAUACUACCCAAAUGGUUGUAAAAGAAUUUCAAUAUUUAAUUUAUUUAUUUUUUGUGUUUUUAUUUGUGAUAAUUGGUGCACAUUUGGAUUGUAUCUAUUUAUGUUUAUAAUGAAUUUAUGAAAACUUGUGGUGAAUUAUGAUAUUUUAAUUAUAUUUAUCAUUCCAUGUUUUGUGUAUAACUUUUAGAAAAUUUAUUAUUAUCAUAACUUAAAUUAAGUUAUUUUGGUAAAGUUCAAGUGUAGAAUGAAACCUGCUUAGUACUUAACAAAAAAAAAAAAAAAAAAAAAAAAAAAAACUGUGAACCUUUGAACCGGCCGAUUGGACCGGUCAGACCGGUCGAACCGCGAACGGCCACCUCUCCGGUUCACUGACCGGUCCGAGUUUAAAAACAUUGCUAAAUACUACCCAAAUCCACCCCCCCCCCCCCCCCCCCAAACUCGACUACACAGCUAACAGGAUUUGUACCUUCCAUUCACUCUGAGACCGGAUUUGUACCUUGACUAAAAUUAGUCAAAUAUUGCGGGCGAGGCUCUUUCUUCUUUACUUGUUAGUUGUUGCAACCUGCAGGACUCUUUUGUCUUCUUGUGGUUGGUGGAGACUUCAGGUCCCCACCCCGGGGCCUAAACGAGGGAACUUUUACCAACUGUCGGCCAAAUUGCAUUUCCAAGCAAUGGACCGCAUAUAAACGAUACCCGAUUCGAGGCGAUUCUAGACCCUAAAUGCAGUAAAUGGUUUAUAAUACGUGGUUGUUCAUUUUCAAAGAAUGUAAAAUAGUUAUAAUACUAAAGCAAUUAUUAAUAUUAGGAGUAUGAUCAAUCAUUAUACUUUUAUAUAAAUUACAAUAAUAAUAUUGAUGGAACUUGUACCAUUUAAGGUAGGAAUCGAAGUAAUUAUUGAAUAAGGUAGGUUAGACUCACUGAUAAUAAAGUAUAUUAAAUAAGGAUAUUUUAAAGAAAUUAAAAAUUAAUUAUAUUUUUUAAUUAGAAAGUUAAUUAUAAUUUAGGAUGGAUGAAAAUGAAAAAUAAGAUUAUUAAAAUGGGACGGAGGAUGUUAUCAUCCUAUUAGAGCAGUAUUAGUUAUUCCCUCUUCCUAUAAGAUAAGGUCAUUUUUCUUUUGUGAUCGUCCUAAAUUAUGAACUUGUUAGUUUACCAAUUUAUUGCCAUGCCCACAUUUAAUGUGCAUCUUUAUCAAUAAAUAUAUUAUUAAUCAUUCUAAGAGUAACAAAUACAUCACUAAGGCUAGUAUUAGCGAAAUGACAUAUGAGGAAAUUACUUAGCGAAAAAGAUUGCACAAACUAUACAUUAACUUACGUUUUUAAUCAAUGUAUAUAAAACUAAAAGUUAGCCUAAAAAUUAGGAGCAUGAGAUUUAUUAGAUAAAUGAAGUAGAGAAAGAGUGAAAAAUAUAGAAAAGUAAAUUUUUUUUUUUUUGCACAUUAUCAAUGUAUGCAUGUGCAGUAUUAAAAUAUCUUCCCUAAAUAAGAGUGCAAGUAGCUCACAAAGCAACAACAAAGAAGAAGACAAUGCAGAAGACAACAAAGAAGAGUGCAAGUUGCUUCCAAGAACUCCAGACGGAGAAAAGACUAAUAACAAUUUAUUGAAAUGAUGCAAACACGACAAGACACCAAGGUAAAUACUAUAAUGCCUUGGCCAUUUACCCAAUCCACUAGUAGAUAUUAAGCAAAAACCCACUAGAAAAAUGUAUUAUUUGUUUUGCUAUUUACCCAAAGGAAAUUCUAACCACGUAUCUCCUUUGAGGACAAUAGGAUGGAAUUAAUUUAGUUGCAAAGGGACGAGAACAAGGUACAUAGAUGUUCGGUUGGACGUUUAUCUUCUUUCUUUUUUUUUUUUUGGGUUUUAAAAUCAAACAACACAUAAACCAGAAAAGAAUUUCAAGAUAUUAUCCCAACAUUGAAUUUUCCAGCUGUAAACAUACAAAACUGAAGAAAUAAAACACCCUUUAAAAAAAAUAUUGCCCAUAUUCAAAAAUGGCGUGCAACUUUUCAAAAAUUCAUAAAGUGGGAAUAAGAUUCAAAAAUGGUGUGCAACUAUUCAACCAAUAUUAAAUGUAAUAAGAUUCGGCUUAAAUUACAUACCAAAAUGUCCAGGUGGAAAAACUCAUUGAAUUCCUUCUCCCUUUCCCUCAGUCACCAACUUUUAACUUAUUCCAAUAAACCAGAUACACAUUCACAGUUAACUGCCAUUUUUAAAGAAGCAAAAAGGCACACAAACAGACAGACUCACACUCUUACCUGCCAUUUUUUCAGAAAACAAAAGAACAAGCACACAUGCACGAUUACCUGAACAAAAUUUCGCAGCAAGUACCAUGUAAAGUUCCAAAAACGUUACUAUCAAGAACAACCAUUGAGAUUCUAACCAAAAGUAGUGGAAAAAAAAACCUGGCCCAUAUUGUUUCGAUUUCAAUUUCGAUUUUGAUUCCGAAUUCAAUUCGGAAUUUAUUCCGAAUCCAUCGAAUUUGGAAUCCUUUUUUCCUUUUUUUCUUUUUUGUUAGACAUAUUGUUUUAUAUUAUAAAUUUUAUAUUACAUAUAUUAUAAAAAUAUUAUUAUGAUUAUAAUAUAUAUUUAUAAAAUGAAAUUGAAAUAAAAAAUAUAAUUAUAUAUAUAAAUAAAUAUAUAUAUAUUAUAAAACGAAAUUGAAAUCGGAAAUUUCGAUUUCGAAUUCCGAUUUCAAAAACUCCAUUAUCGAAUUCGAACCAAAUUCGCUUAAUUCGAAAUCAAAAAUUUCGAUUUCAGUGCCGAAUUGCGAAUUACCGAUUUUGAAAAUUCUGAAUUCAAUUUGAAUUCGAUCAACAAAUCGGAAUUUUUUCAUUUUGCACACUCCUAGGAUUUUUAGAAGUCAUAACCUCAUGUGGCAACCCCUCCUUCAAAACACGAAUACUUUUGAAAAUGCACAGCCUUUCCAAGGCAUUAAGUUUAUAAAUGCGCAGUCCUCUCAAGACAUUAAGUUUACCACAUUCAGAAACAGUUCAUGCUAACAACUAUAAGGGGGUGCUUGGUUGGAGGGUAUAGGAAUCAAGAAUUGGAUUGAGUCCCAAAAUUGUUGCUUGGCUAAUGGGUAUAGGUUUUGAAAUCUUGGAAUGAUUCGUGAAAAAUCAGCCACUCUCAAUACCCAAGUAGAUCGGAGGGUUUUGAUGAAUCCCACCUUUGAUUCCAAAAUCUUAAAAAAAAAUUAUUUUUGGAAUUUUUUAAAAAUAUAUACUGGCUCUGUUUCUAUAUAUUAAUAUUUAUUUAUUUAUAUAUAUAAUAUUUUUUAUUUCAAUUUUGUUUUAUAAUAUGUAUAUUAAUAUAUAUUUAAUAUACAUAUAUAAAUAUAUAUAUAAAUAUACAUAUUAUAAAAAAGUUGAAAUAUAUAUUUAUAUAAUAUAUAUUUAUACUUAUAUAUAAAUAAAUAUAUAUAUUUAUUUCAAUUGAUAUAAUAUAUCUAAUAUACAUAUACAUAUUAAUAUAAUUUAUAUAUAUAAUAAAAUAUAAAUAUUAAUUGAAAUAUACAUAUUAAUAUAUGUUAAUAUACAUAUUAUAAAAAAAAUUGAAAUAAAUAUAUUUAUAUAUUUAUAUAAAUAUAUAUAAAUAAAUAUAUUUAUAUAAAUAUAAAUAUAAAUAUAUUUUAAACAAAAUUAUUUAUAUAUAAAUAUAUAUUAUUUAUUUCAAUUGAUAUAAUAUAUAUAAUAUACAUAAUUGACAUAUUAAUAUUACUAUAAUUUAUAUAUAUAAUAUACAUAAUUAAAAUAUACAUAUUAAUAUAUAUUAAUAUACAUGUUAUAAAACAAAAUUGAAAUAAAUAUAUUUAUAAAUUGAAAUAAAUAUAUAAAUAAAUAUAUUUAUAUAUUUAUGUAAAUAUAAAUAUAAAUAUAUUUAUAAAUAUAUUUUAAACAAAAAUAUUUAUAUAUAAAUAUAUAUUAUUUAUUUCAAUUGAUAUAAUAUACAUAUUAAUAUUACUAUAAUUUAUAUAUAUAAUAUACAUAAUUGAAAUAUACAAAUUGAAAUAUACAUAUUAAUAUAUAUAUUAAUAUACAUAUUAUAAAACAAAAUUGAAAUAAAUAUAUUUAUAAAUUUAUAUAAAUAUAUAUAAAUAAAUAUAUUUAUAUAUUUAUAUAAAUAUAAAUAUAAAAUAUAUUUAUAAAUAUUUAUAUAAAUAUAAAUAUAAAAUAUAUUUAUAAAUAUUUAUAAAUAUAUUUUAAACAGCAAAUUAAUAUUUAUAUAUGACUAUAUAUAUGGUGGAUGGGUAUGUGGGAAAAGCAUUUGAACGAGGAAGAAGAAAGAUAUGAAAAGCAAAAAGAAAUUAAAGGUAAAAAAUUGAUUAUUAAAUUUGAUACCCAUUCCUUACCAAUAUUUACCAAGCACGCCCAUUUGUAAUCAUACCUUUGUCCAAAACCCAUACUAAGUUUUUUUGUAUGAUUCCAAUUACAAUUCCAAUUCCUAAGCUUGAACCAAGCGCCCCCUAAGUAUAUAUCUGAAUGAAACCCAAGCAUAUUUAGAAGACUUUAAUUCAAGAAAAUUCUAACACUAAAUAAAAAAUGCACAAAAAAUAAGACUUGCCGAACAUCAAAACAUACUAGGAGCACCUGGCUAUUUUAUUAGAGUAUUGCUAUGUAGAUAUUUACAUGGCAAGAAAACCUGUAAAUAACCAAAUUCACAGAUAUGAAUUUAAAUUAAUAUCAGAACACAACAAAAAAAUCCACUCAAAUUGAAAUUACUGAAGUAGUGGACUUCCCAACUAAAAAUUAGCGUCGGAUUCUUACGAAAUCACCAAGGAGAUAAUAGCAAUGCUAUGGUUACAUACAAGGUUGCAAUUUAGGAAGAAGCCACCUAUAACGCCAUCAAGGUUGCCUCGCCAAAAUAUAGCCUCUUAAAUAUUAGCUCAAAACCCGAAAUAUGAAGUAAUAGGACAUCCUUGAUCAGCAAAAUCCAAAUGAAAGUGAAAAUAAGAUGUCCUGUGAUUUCUAUUGCCUAUAAACCCCAAUGCAAAAGAUGCUUUCGUAUGAAAUCCUAGUUUCUUGCCAAACCAUAAAACAAAAUUCCCAAAAUAAAGUAAGCAAAUUGCCAAAACAAAAAAAGAAAUCAAAUGUAAAGAAUAGCUUUGAUGGAAAACAAAUAAAAAAAGGGAAGCAGGGAGAGUUGAGAGUCCUCAAUAAAGAGAAAUGAGAGAAAGGCUUGCAAAUUUUGAGGAAAAAGGGACAGAAAAUAUAUUGCUGAAAAUAUGAUAAUUAAGUGUAAUCCAAUGACAAGACAACGAGAAGGUACACGGCCCAAAAAUCUAAGGGUUGAGAGAGAUCCAUUAGAAAAAAUGGUAAAUUCUGUAGUGUAUUCACAUAUUCCAAAGACAGGUGUGGAAAGUAAAUUAUAUGGCAAAGAAGCUGGCACGUAGCAACCUGACAUGUACGAAGAUGAAGGGAAUGUUUCUAAAAAAGUAAGUGGUGACCUAUAACCGCGGUUUAGAAAUGUGAAUGUAGCGUACUGCAGAAGUUGGAAAUGUAUUGGGGUAUGACGGAAUUAACAUAAAUAUAAUGGGCCUACGAAUAAAACACCGAAAAGGAAGCAUAAGCAGUACUAUCUAUUUACGGGCAUUACAUCAACAAAAUACUAUCUAUUUAUGGACAUUUUACUCUGAAUCAUUACAUUUAUGUAAAAUACAUAAAUAUGUGUAACUAAAAUUGAAGAACUGUUACACUAAUAUUUUUACGAAAGGAAAAUUGGUUGUCCUGUAUUUAACAUAAACUGAUUUUUAUGAAAGUAAAAAAUAUAUUGCCAGUAACAUACCUAUUAUUUAUUAUUUUUUUUUUGUAUUACAUCAACAAAACACUAGCUAUUUACGGGUAUUUUAUUCUGAAUCAUUACAUUUAUGUAAAAUACAUAAAUAUCUGUAACUAAAAUUGAAAAAGUGUUACACUAAUAUUUUUACGAAAGGGAAACUAGUAAAUUUUGUAUUUAAUAAAUUUUAAAUAUUUGAAAGUAAAAAAGUUUUGCCCAUAACAUACCAACUCUUUAUGAGUUUUUUGCAUUACAUCAACAAAAUACUAACUAUUUAUGGGUAUUUUAUUCUGAAUCAUUACAUUUAUGUAAAAUACAUAAAUAUUUGUAAAUAAAAUUAAAAAAGUAUUAUACUUAUAUUUUUAUGAAAGGAAAACUAGUAGAUUUUACAUUUAACAAAUUUUAAAUAUGUGAAAGUAAAAAAGAUUGCGCCCAUAACAUACCAACUCUUUAUGGAUUUUUUUGCAUUACAUCAACAAAAUACUAGCUAUUAUGGGCAUUUUACUCUGAAUCACUACAUUUAUGUAAAAAAAAUAAAUGUUUGUAAUUAAAAUUGAAAAAGUGAUACACUUAUAUUUUUACAAAAGAGAAAUUGGUAAAAUUUGUAUUUAACAUAAAUUAAAUAUGUUAAAGCAAUAUUAAAGGUGAUUUUAUUAGUUACUUAAUUUGUUGGUAAGAAACAAGGUUUCUUUUGCAAAAUUUGUCCAUUAGAUUUUUUUUUCAAAUAAUUAGGAUAUAAAGGUAAAUUUUCACAAUUUUUUGUUAGCAAUAGGCCCCAAUUUCCUCCUAGACAGUGACGAAGCCAAGAUUUUUUUACUUUGAGGGAGGGCCAAAAUGAUUGACAAAUAAAAUUAUUUUAAUAUAUUAUGUUCAAAAUAAUUUUCAUCUAUUUAAAUAUAUGGUAUCCUAAAAUAUCAAAUAUUAACUUUAAUUAUAAAGGUAUGUCUAUUUGAUAAAUAUGUAGUUUAGUCAUAACUAAAAUUAAAACAAGAAAUAACAUUUGAUUAAAUAUCUUAUAGGAAAAAAAUGCACUUUUUUAUCCUCAAAAUUUGGGUGGUUGACCAAUUUCAUCCUCAAAGUUUCACCCCAAACAUAUUGCAUCCUCAAAAUUUCGUAAUUUUGGCCAAUUAAGGACAAUUAACGAGAAAUGAAGAAUUGAUCGUUAGAACAAUGAUUUUACUCAACAAAAAAUUGAUAAAACCGAAUGGAGCCAUUUUUAACGGAACAAUUGCAACGCAUAAAAAGCUCAAUUCUUCUCCUUCUUCUCUUUGCUUUUCUGUAACCCCAAAAUUUUUUUGCCAAUCUCUGGAGUUUUAAUGACCGUUAUACAACUUUCAAAACAAAUAAAUUCAUUCUAAAUUUUUAUUUGGGAUUAUUUCAUAAAUCAAAUCGUGGUCACUUUCCGUAAAGUAUCACUUUCCCAUAAAAGACUAGCUCUUUAUGGCUUUUCUCCAUUAGAAGAACAGAGUACCUAUUUUUUCAUAAUUAAAUUUAUUUAUCGAAUAAAAUAAAAAUAAAUUCAUUUUCUAAUAAAAGACUAGCUCUUUAUGGCUUUCCUCCAUUAUAAGAACAAAGUACCCAUUUUCUCAUAAAUAAAUUUAUUUAUCAGAUAAAAUAAAAAUAAAUCUAUUUUUCAAUAAAAAACCAACUCUUUAUAACUUUCCUCCAUUAUAAGAAUAGAGUACCCAUUUUUCCAUAAAUAAAUUUAUUUAUCGGAUAAAAUAAAAAUAAACCCAUUUUUUAAUAAAAGACCAGCUCUUUAUGACUUUUUUUCAUUUUAAGAACAAAGUAUCCAUUUUUUCAUAAACAAAUUUAUUUAUCAGAUAAAAUAAAAAUAAACCCGUUUUUUCAAAAAAAAAAAACAUCAGCUCUUUAUGACUUUCCUCUAUUAUAAGAACAGAGUACUCAUUUUGAAGGCAAAAAAGGAAUUUGUUUAUCGGAUAAAAUAAAAAUAAACUCAUUAAUGUCAAUAAUGAGAUAUAGCAAAAUGGUGGCCCACCUCUCUCAAUGUGAUUUUCAAUGGGAUAAGAUUUGCACGGUACAUGUAGCAAAUUGUCAUGGCCCCUGUUCCUUCACAUGUGUGUAGAGGCGGUAAUUGUCAUGGAUUGCUUACAACUUAUUCCCUCCAAACCUUUUCUUAUAAUGGAGUUUCUGAUUUUAUCCAAGUAAUAAAUUACUUCAGUGAAAAAAAGGAAAAAUAGAAAAUUUAUGGAGGAAAGUUACAAAGAGUUGGUGUUUUAUUGGAAACCAUCGACCCCUUACGAAAGACGAUCAAAUGCAGCUAAAUGAUUUUCUUGCAAGAAAGUUGCCGAAAGCAGCUUUGUGACUGUAGUUGCUAUUUUUUUUUCAACCAUUUUUUUAGCAAGAGGUAUCACUAAUGUCAAUAUUGAGAUAUAGCAAAAUUUGUAUACGAAAUAACAAACCAAUUUGUCAUUACAAAUACAAAACGAGCAAUAAUAUAUUACAACCAAUACUAUCAACAGUACAAAGCACAAAGAUACUCAAAUCAAAUCCUAAUUGGGCUUUAAUAUGUACAACCAAAAUUGCUAGGGAUAACAAAUGCUAAGAUAGACCCUGUGCCGAUAUACAAUGAGUAUCAUGUUUGCAUUAAUUGACGAAGUCCAUAAUCGAAGUAGCUUGUAAGAGCUUCAUAGCCAUGUCAUGUUUGCUCUCCUCCACCAUUUUUUAUUUCUUCAAUUACAUGCGUAUCCAUUACUGAAUAAACCAAAACACAGAGUCAAAUACUACUAGAGAGACGCGACUACAUAUAUAAACCUCCUUGGAGGAAAAGAAAUACUCUGUACAGAUUAUAAAUCAAAUGAAAAUGACAUUUUACAUUUCUGUUGGUCAGAAACUUUUAGUGAAUAUCAAAUUUUGGUUCAAGACUAUUAAAAGGACCGGUUACCUGAGCUGGGUGAUGGUGUUUCAUGUCUAAUAGAUUCUCGAGGUCUACUAACAGUGUCUUGUUCAUUCCUCGAAGAUGAUGAUUGACCACCUGAUGGCGAUGCUGCAUCCCUCAGGUUGAAGAAAGUGGGACUCUCAUGAUUGUUCAAAUCAAAUGCAGCUUUGUUUUCACUUGGGUCAUCAAACACAGAGAUUCUGGGUUCAAAAUAUGGAGAAUCCAAUGUUAUCUCUCCUUGUUUACUCAGGAAGUUAAGACGAGGAUCACAUUGAAUAAGCUUUUCGAAAUGCUUUCCCAACAAGCCUUGUGGACACUGCAGAAAAUGACGCCUGCCAGAAAUCCCAGAAAAAAUGCCAAUCAACGGUGAGUCAGACCAUUGCUGUUAGUCUCCAGAGAUUGAGCAAAACAACGAAAAGAAAAAACUGUCACUUAAAAAAAAAAAAUUUAGAGCAUCUCUCAUCUCUUAAUACCUUUAGUAUCAAAAAGCUACCAAAUAUAUUUCAAAUGUCCAAUUCGGGAUUACCCCUCUCCCCUGUUUCUUCUCCCCCACCCAAUAAAAAAAAUCAUCUCUUUGGUGAUAAAGGGAGAAAUGCUAAAAGCACAGAAGGCUAGAAUAGAGUAAGUCCAACAAUUGAAAUUCAGUCGUGAGUCGCUGAUACUCAUAAAAGUCAACAUUUCGCUCUAAAAGCUCGUAAGAUAGGAACUUGGAAGUCAACAUCAGAGAAGAGAGGUGUAUGCAGACUAUUAUUCAGAUACAUCUGCGGUCAAGGCAGUAUAGCUGUGGUGAUAACAAAUCGCUAUCUACAUAAUGCUGAGAUGUUACUGAGAAAGUCAAAGAACCACCUAAGAAAUAACAAAUUGAUGAAGUAACUCAAAUGGUACAAAUCAAAAUGUGGGGGUGGAGAACAAAAAAUCCUUGCUACAUAAAUAAACAAAUAGGACACAUACAGUACGGAACAAGUAGCUUGUUGCCUAAAAAGUGCCAUUUAAAAAUGGCAACACAAUAAACUCGUGAAUGAAUGAGAGAUUACCAUACCUUUGUAUGCUGGCCUGACCCCCAGUAAAAUCAGAUGUUGCCUGCCACAGGGUAUGCUUCCUGGGCUGUGGAUUUGUCUCCCUAAAGAAAAGAGGUUGUCUUGCAAGCUACACCAUUAAAAAAAAACUGUUUUCACUAUAAAAAGUUCAUAAUAACGACAUACAAAGUAAUUAACAAAGACACAGUAAGUGUUGCUAAUACCACUACAUCCAAAGUCCCCGAUCCGUCAUCAGGAAUUCGCCUUCAAAGCCAUUAUAUCAGACCAUUGAAUUUCAAUCUUAUUCUUGAGCCCGCCAUCAAGAACCUCCCAUACAAGCUUAUGCUUUGCAAAAUAACACUUUGCUACCAAAUCCCCUUCAUAUCUUGACUUAUACUAGAAAUUAGAACAAAGACAUGCAAUCAAAAUUAACGAAAUCAUAAGCAAUCCAAUAAAACAAGUUUCUAAAAUCCAUGAUCAAAUGAAAAUGUAUAAAUAUACCUCCCAGGUCCCAAUUCGCAGAAUAGUUGCUGGAAAAUUUGAAGCCUUGAGCUUCUCAGAGGAACCAGAAGCAGCGGCCCCUUUAAGCUCUUUUUUACUGGAACUUGCACCCUUAGGUGAAUUAGCUUGAGAAAGCCUCAUUUGGAUCAAUUCCAAAAGGGAAGGACUUUUCCUCAGCCUCAAUCCCAAUGGAUUCGGCUCGUCUAAUGGGUUAUACUGAGCCGGCGGUGCCACCGGAAAGCCACCCACUUCCCCACUUCCCUGCUGCUACAGUCAAACCCCCCUGAAAGUACAUCAGAAAUUGAACUUUCAAUCAUACAGACAAAACCACAUAGAAUAAAACCAGGAAAAAAACCCAAAAUUCACACAAACUCCUAAAAAGUGAUAGAUGUUCAAGAUCCAAUUUUGACGGGUCGUUUCAUUUUGCCUUCCAGUAAGACCCAUUUCUCUACUCCAACUGAGAUGCCCAUUCACUCUAAUCCACUGAAGUAGAAGCCUACAAUUUCAAAAAGUUUAUCUUGCGAUUGUUAAAUUGACCAAAAAUGCAAGAAAAAGGCAAUUGACAAAACAGAGAUGAAAAUAACAUAUUAAAAAACCUACACCAUCGCUUUUCCUUGAAGUCUGCCAUUGCAUCGAAAGGGUCUUUAAAGUGUGUCCAUGAUUGUAUAAAUUCAGAUCUGGAUGCUAGAGAGGAAGAGGGGAACCAUAUGUCUACGGGAAACUGAAAAUUGAUAGAGAGGGAAAGAGAGAUAGAAGGAGAAACCGCCCCUGUUUGGCAAGAAUUUUAACCGAAAAAAGUCCUUGCCCUCGCAGAGUAUAUGAUGGCUCCAAUUUUUGGUGAAGUAUUGUCCUUUUCCUUGCUAUAAGUCUCUUAAUAGCGUCAACCUUUCUACUUCUUCCUAAAGUUGUUGUCGCUAAUACCCUUUUUUGUUGUAGUGAACGAAGGAAAACUAUAAAGAAUUGGUGUUUUAUUGAAAAAUAUAUUUAUUUUUUCAACCAAUAAAUAAAUUUAUUUAUGAAAAAAUGGGUACUUUGUUCUUAUAAUAGAGGAAAACUAUAAAGAGUUGGUGUUUUAUUGAAAAAACGGGUUCAUUUUUAUUUUAUUCGAUAAAUAAUAUUUUUUUAGAAAAAUGGGUACUAUAUUCUUAUAAUGGAGGAAAGUCAUAAAGAACUAGUUUUUUAUUGAAAAAAGAGUUUAUUUUUAUUUUAUUUGAUAAACAAAUUUGUUUAUGGCAAAAUGAAUACUCUUUUCUUAUAAGGGAAGAAAGCCAUAAAGAGUUGAUGUUUUAUUGAGAAACGGGCUUAUUUUUAUUUUUUCGAUAAACAAAUUUUUUUAUUUGAUAAAUAAAUUUGUUUAUGGCAAAAUGGGUGCACAAUUCUUAUAAUAGAGAAAAGGCAUAAAGAGUUAGAAUUUUAUUGAAAAACGGGUUUAUUUUUAUUUUAUCCGAUAAAUAAUUUUUUUUUAGAAAAAGGGGUACUUUGUUCUUAUAAUGGAGGAAAGCGAUAAAGAAUUGAUUUUUUAUUGGAAAACGGGUUUAUUACAAUUUUAUUCCAGCCAACUGUGACCCAUUUUCCCACUAACCUAAGGUAGACGGACUAAAUCAUUGAAUUCGUUAACUACAGUCAAAAUUAACACAGAAGCAACUGACUCAAAUCACUCAAUCCUUUAUGACUUAUACCAAAUUAAUACUAGAAAGCUUAUUUGAAAUAACAAUAAAAUAUUUUAUAAAUGAUUAAAACUUAGUACAUUAGUUAGUAAGUACUCGUAACAUACUUGUAUAAUGCAUGAUUAUAUGUAUAAUUUAAUAUUCUUUUGUACUUAUAUAUUUUAAAAUAUUCUGUGAAAAAUAUUUUGACCUUUCACAUAACCUUAGAAAAUAAUAAAAUUUUAUCGUAUUAUAAAAUAAUAAUUUUAUUUUAUUAUAUUCAUAGGUGUUAAAUUAUAAAAAUUGUGAUAUAGAAACAAGUGAUAUUCUACGUGUAACUAGGAAGAUUUGUUGUUAUUGUUAUCCAAACUUUCAAACUUUUCAAAAAUUGAAAAUGAAUACAAACUUAUGAUAAGACAAAAUUUUAUUAUAUAUUUUACAAGGUUACUUUUCAUAGUAUUUUAAAAUAUAUAAAUACAAAAAAUAUUAAAUUAUACCUAUAAUCAUUUAUUAUACAGGUAUAUUAUGAGUACUUACUAACUAAGAUUUAUCCCCACAUUUGUAUAGUUUGUUGUGACAAUCAGGUUUAUUCUCACAUUUGUUUGAGUUUUGAUUACAAUGGAUAUAAGCUAUUCCCUCCAAACCCCAAAUUUUGAAUUAUAACAUUCAACCAAAACAUGCUCAAACUCUCAGGCUCGGUCGUACAAGGACAGCUAGUGUGAAUAUCCGUGCUACACACGGUGCUUACAUUGUUAAAAUAAAUCAAAAGAUUAUACCAUUUUAAUUUGAAAAAAAUUAAAAAAAUUAUACCAACAUAAUUAAAAUUUAAGAUUUGUCUAACAAUAGGUCAAAGUAUGAAGAAAACUGUAAAUCAUUCAAGAAUUGUGUUUUUGCAAAAGAUGGAUCUUAAAAUAAUAAUAAUAAUUUACAUUAGAAAAUGAAUGAUAUAUGGAUAGAAAUAAAUGUAAUUGCAUUUUUUUUAUUUUAAAAUGAAAUACUUACCAAUAUUAUACAUUCAAUUUGAUAAUCUUAUAGAUAUAUGCAUUAUGAGAAUAUAUAUAUAUGUAUAUGUGUGUAUGUGUGUGAAUUAACUACCUUUGAAUUAAUUUUUAUUAAAAAAAUUAUUUAUUUUUAAUGCCUUUAUAAUUUGUGAAUGAUUAUGAGAGUAAAAUAUAUUAUGACAAUAAGAUAUGUUGAAUUGUGAAAAUUGUAAUUUAAACAGGUUUCUAAAUUUUGGAUAUUUGACUUUCGUAGUUGCGAAUUUUUUAACUUAACGGUUAGUUAUUACUCUAAGUGAUAUGAUAAGUGUCAGUAAUAAAUGUGAGAUGUGAAUUAGAAUUUGCAGAUAUCAUUUUACAGGGGUGGUUAUUAUCCGUUAAUUAAAGUUUAGGAGUUUGAAUUUUAUGGGGUAGUGGAAAAAACAUGAGGAAAAUGUGAAAAAAAUAUAAGCAUGAUUAUAGGAUUUGUAGGGCCGGUUACAUGAUUAGUUAAGAGAUAAAUAAGUUUUAAUUAUAAAAAUGUAAAAUUCUAUUAAAAUAGCAUUCAGACUUUUGAUAAUUUUGGAAGUUCCUUAUCCAAAACCCCCUCAGCAAUACAUAUAGAUAUAGAUACUAAACGAUAGUUAUGAUAGCGAAAUAGUUUUUACCUGAUAUAACAUGUUGUUGUACUUUUAGCGAUCAUUUGAUUUAUUGUUGGACCUAUUCACCUAAAUAAAAUAACACCUAAAAUUAUGGAAGUAAGUUUCCUAUCUAAAAUAGUAAGUUAAGUGUAACAGAUUAGUAACUUUUAUACCUCAAAAGGUAAAUUGGAAUAAAUAUUAAACUUAAUUUUUAAAUAAAUAGAUUACUACUUGAUAUCCCAAACUUACUUUUAAAAGAGUAAGUUUAGUUCAAAUAACAGUAAGUUUUUAUACAUAAAUAGUAAUUCUUACUAAUAACAUGGCAAUAAAAAUGAUUAAGGAUCAAAAUUUACCAUUUUUUGGAAUGCAUGUACAAUUUUUACAUUAAAACCUUAUCUCAAAGUAGUAUUAGAAAGUUUAUUUGAAAUAAUGAUAAGAUGUUUUUAUUAAUGAUUCAAACUUAGUACCUUAGUUAGUAAGCACUCAUAAUAUACCUUAGUAAGUUUAAUUCAAGUAAUAGUAAGUUUUUAUACAUAAAUAGUAAUUAUUACUGAUAACAUGGCAAAUUUGAUUAAUAAUCAAGAUUUAUUGAUUUAUGGGACGCAUGUACUAUUUUACUUUAAAACUUAUCUCAAACUAGUAUUAGAAAGUUUAUUUGAAAUAACGAUAAGAUGUUUUAUCAAUGAUUAAAGCUUAGUACCUUAGUUAGUAAGUACUCAAAAUACACUCGUAUAAUACAUGAUUAUAGGUAUAAUUUAAAAUUUUUUGUACUUAUACAUUUUAAAAUACUAUGAAAAAUAGUAUGAACUAAACCUACUCUUCAAAAAGUAAAUUUCGGAUAUGCAGUAGUAAUUUAUUUUUAAAAAAUUUAAGUUGCAUAUUUAUUUCAAUUUACGCUUGAACAUACAUCGAUCGGUGCUCUAUGGAUGCGUCCAAACUCCAGUGAAUGUCUUUAAACUAAAUUCUAAUCAAAGUAGUAUCCAAAAUGUAAUGAUUCAGAGUAAAAUGUCCAUAAAACUUAGUACAAGGACAGCUAGUGUGAAUAUCCGUGCUAUCCAUAAUAUUUAUGUAUUUUACAUAAAUGUAAUGAUUCAGAGUAAAAUGCCCAUAAAUAGAUAAUAUUUUGUUGAUGUAAUGCCCAUAAUCGGUGGCCCCAGGAUGGCUUUGUUUAGUAAUUAGUACUGCUUAUGCUUCCUCACAAAUGUUUUAUUCUUAGACCCUUUAUAUUUAUGUUAAUUCCGUGACAUCCCAACACAUUUUGAGCUUAUACAGUACACAAUAUUUCCAAACCCCGGUUAUAGGUCUCCACUUGCUUUUGUACAAAUAUUUCCUUCUUGGUCCAUACAUGUCAGGUUGCAACGUGCCACUUUCUUUGCUAUAUUAGAGCUGGUCAAGAACUGGUCUCUUAUUAGAAAAUGGAUUUAUUUUUAUUUUAUUCGAUAAAUAAAUUUAGUUAUGAAAAAAUGGAUACUCUGUUAUUAUAAUAUAGGAAAGCCAUAAAGAACUGGUUUUUUAUUAGAAAAUGGAUUUAUUUUUAUUUUAUUCGAUAAAUAAAUUUAGUUAUGAAAAAAUGGGUACUCUGUUCUUAUAAUGGAGGAAAGCCAUAAAGAGAUGGUAUUUUUUGGGAAAGUGAUACUUUACACAAAGUGACCGCGAUUUGGUUUAUGAAAUAAUCCCAAAUAAAAAUUUAGAAUGAAUUUAUUUGUUUUGAAAGUUGUAUAACGGUUGUUAAAAUUUCAAAGAUUGGCAAAAAAAUUUUGGGGUUACAGAAAGGCAAAGCGAAGAAGGAGAAGUAUUGAGUUUUUUGUCCGUUGCAAUUGUUCCGUUAAAAAUGGCUCUAUUCGGUUUUACCCAUUUUUUGUUGGGUAAAAUCGUUGGUUCAAACGAUUAAUUCUUCAUUUCCCGUCAAUUGUUCUUAAUUGGCCAAAAUUACGAAACUUUGAGGAUGCAAUAUGUUUGGGGUGAAACUUUGAGGAUGAAAUUGGCCAACCACCCAAACUUUGAGGAUGAAAAGUGCAUCUUUUCGUAUAAGAUAUUUAAUCAAAUGUUAUUUCUUAUCUUAAUUUUAGUUAUGACUAUACUACAUAUUUAUUAAAUAGACAUACCUUUAUAAUUAAAGUUAAUAUUUGAUAUUUUAGGAUGCCAUAUAUUUGAUAUUUAUGCUAUUUAUGAUUUUUCUCCAUUAUAAGAACAGAGUUGAUAAGUCAUAAUUUGUGCUAAAUUUAUAAUUAUUUUUCCCUUUGAUUUUAGCCAAAUAUUAUCUUAAUUGAUAUAUUCUACUAAUAUUUGGUAUUUGGGAUUAAUUGCAGGAAGUGGUGAAGAAAAAGUACUGAAAAUCGUCAUUCCAGCAGAUUCCCUGAUAGUUUGGCGUGCCCACGCCUAACUCCAGCUUUCAAGGACGGAUUUUCGGGAUGAUUUGCACACGUGAAAGCUUCCAAAACUAAAUAAAGCAGCGGACUACAAUGCUGAAAAGCAGUGGGGCCAUUUCAAAAGCUGAAGAAAGCUAUCUAUAAUAGGAUUCCUAUUGUUUAGGAAAAUUGGUACUCGGGUACCAACUUUGAAGGAGAGAAAUCAGGAUGGGAAUCUGUUUGUUCUCUCGGUGGGCCUGGCCUAAAAGGAAAUGGAUUUCCUUCAUCCCUUUGAGUGGCUAAAAACGUAGAGCAUUAGGAGGCUUGGGGAGGCUUGUCUUUAAAUAUGUUUUUACUUGGAAAAGCUGGGGGGAAGGUACGGAGGUCGGGGACUUUUCCUCCGUAGCCGACUUUUACUUUUCUUCCUUGGCCGAUUUGGCCAGGAACAAUUUGGUAAGAUUCAGAUAGCUUUUUCGCAUGGUUGUUCUCCAUUAAUGGAGAACUAACCUUCUAAUUCUAGUCAAGGAACAACUGAAGAUUUGGUUCUGCAAUUACUGUGAGAUCGAAUUUAUUUUAAUCGCUUUCUCAUUUAUUGGUAUUUAUAUGAUUCCUGUUUUUAAUUGUUAUAGCUCUUGUGUAUGAUUGAUUAGUGCGCAAUAAUUAAUUAUUCAUAUAGGCUAUUUUGCUAAAUAGGGGUAAUUGAAUCCGUAAUUGUUCGUUACCUCUAUCCCAGUAGCAACUGGCGUAAUUGGGUUUAUGUCAGGGAAACAUACGAUCUAAUUUAAACAAACCCUCUUAGCGUGUUUGUUAGUUAGGAUUGGGCCUUUCUAAUUUUUAAUGCAAUCUAGAAAUUAAAUUCUACGGUCGUACUUAGGAUUAUUUUUGGGUUAGAGAAAUAGUUAACGGUCGUACCUUAACUAUCGAGAAAAUAAGGAAAGGUUGGUUGUUUAUCGCGUGUAUGACAACUAUAACCACUCUAGUAAUAAAUGUUGGAAUUAUCUUUGAAUCAAUGAUCAGUGUGUGAACCAUUUCUGAAGUGUAUUCUUGGCUAGAGUUUCUCUAAGUAUUUCUUUCAAUUAAUUAUUCUCUGCAUUUAAUUUCUUUAGUUAGCAUUUAAUCCAAGAACCCCCCACACUUUGGAUUCUAGAAGAAACGAAUUAUCCCCAGUCCCUGUGGAUUCGACCCUACUCACCGCUAUAUACAAAAUCUGUAUUUUUCUCGAGUAGGUAUUUAUUAUUGUACAGGUUCGGCACCUGUCAAUUUUUGGCGCCGUUGCCGGGGACUGGUGCCAGAUUAAUUUGUUUCUUUUUGAGUUCAUCUUGUUUUUAUUUUUAUCUAUUUAUUUUUCUCUUAUUUUUUAUUAUAUAGUUUAUGACUUCUAACACUCCGUAUUUUGGUGAUUUACUGAACUUUGUUUCCGAGGAAGGCAAUGAGACUGAUUUUUUUCUAAGUUUGCAUAUUUAGAGGCACUAAACUCUAUUAGAGAAAGAAUGGCUGCUGCAACCUAUGAAAUUUGUUAUGCCAGGGAUCAUUCGACCGGUAUGUGCCCCGAAUAUCAAGAUAAUCUGAGUGUCCCACUCAAUAAUUAUGGAGAUUUUUCACCAUGGUCUCAAACGUGGUAUAACCCUAAUCCAAACGGGUAUGAUCAAGGAUGGUGGGAUAACUCCAGUUAUAAUUAUACAACAGGGCCAAUGAAUUUUCAGCAGUAUGAGUCUCAAGAAUCAUCAUCUAUGUCAGGUAUGUCUCUUGAAGAAAUAGUUGAAUUAAUAGCUAUUAACACAUAUCAAAUUCAACAGGAGACACAUCAACUUCAACAGGAGAUAAUAGAUUUUCAUCAGGAGACACAAGUGAGCAGGCGUAACCUAGCAGAUCAAAUGGAUCAAUUGACAUUUAGGAUAACGCCAUUGGCUUCUCGAAUGAAUGAAGAAUUGCCCUCACAAACUAUUAUCGACCAUGAGGAAGAUGAGAGUGCAAUUAUCCUGACGAAUGACAUGGUACUGCAAGAGUCUCAAGAAAAAGAAUCUAAAGAUGUAGAUGAAAAGAAAGUUGAAGCACAAGAAUUGAGACCCCAACAUCAAAUGGUUCAAGUGAAUGAAUCCAGUGAACAAUCUCCAAAUGCGGUGACAUCUCCUCCAUUCCUUGAUCAAUAUUUUCCUGACUCUUAUUCUUUAAUUCCUGUUAGUGAGAUUGAUUUAAUUAUACCAGAAAAUUUUGAGUUUCAUGACAGGAGCAAGUUAAGAGUCACGAUGGCAAAAUAUCUCAAACCAAUAAGUGCUUGUGAUGGAGGAGUGAAUGAAGAUUUAAUGUCAUUAUUUGGUUGUUUGGCGCAAUCUACUGGUCCAUGGAAGACCGUAGCUCGUGUGCUCAAGAAUUACUCUAUUUACGAGGGCUAUCAGGAUUACAUAGAAGAUGAAGCACUGAAGCGAGCUACGCGAUUUUAUCCUCCAUGAAUAAACAGGACAAUGUCUAGCCAAAGACAUUAAAGAAAGACGCUGCUUGGGAGGCAACCCAAGGCUUUCGUUUUAAUUUUCUUAUGUUUUUGGAGUUUUUGUUAAGUGUUAGUUGCGUUUAGUGAUUUGUUGCUUGGUGGCAGGAAAUUGGCAAUUAGACGUGACCACGCUAAGUGGUCACGUAUGCGGAAAAGAGUUGGAAGGCAACGGUCAGAAGACUCUGUAGCAGUUAGGCGUGCCCACGCUAGGUGGUCAAGCUAAAGGAUCAAAAAUUUUCGACGGAUGUUCAAAAUACUAGGGGCAGUUAGGCGUGCCCAGGCCUAAGACUGGGGUUCUUUGUUUACCCAAAAAAAAAAAAAAUUUUCCAAAGGACCCGGAGCCUACUCUUUUUCUUCUUAUUUCUUUUCUUUUUCUUUCUUCUUCUUCCUUCUUUUCUCUUUGUCUGCCGCAGCACCUCACCUCACUCACACGCCCACCACCACCAUAGCUCCUCCGUCCGCCGCUGCCAACUCCUUUUUCCUCUUCUUCCUUUGCCUUCCUGUUGUCGCCGCGCGCCGUCCGCCAAUGCCAGGUGAUCCCGCAGCAGCACCAGCAGCGGCGGCCCUCCAGCUGAACCAGUCGUGCAGCAUAGCGCGCGACACCUCCACACCAGCGGGCAUCUGCACAACAGCAGACAGCGCGAGCCCAGCGCGCGGGCCUUGCGCGCUUUGAACCAGCGACGACCAGGUGCGACCUGCGCAGUCCCAGCAGGAGCAGCUCGCCCCCAUCGCGCGCGACUCAGCCCAGUAGUCCGCCACCACGCCCAAAGUAGCUGUGCACUCGCUGCGCGCCUGAUCCAGCCUCGCGUGUCCAUCGCGCUCGCGAGUCGUUUGACCAGCACCAGGCGGAGCUCAGAACCACCAGCAGGCGCACGACCUCCGCUGCGCAGCACCUCCAGCGCGCGUUCCAGUCUCUUUCAUUCGCAGCGAAGCCACAGCGCGCCUGUCCAAGCGCGUGAAACGCACGCGCGGUGCCUUCAUCCUCUUCCGUUGCUGCCUCCGCUCUUUCGCCACCCCCUCUGCUUGCCCAAACACCUCUGGUGAUUUCAUUCUUUAAUUUUCUGUCAAUAAGUAGCUGAGGCCAGAUUACUAGUUCUUUACUAGCUGAUGCCAGAAUUUUACUUUCUUAGCUGAGGCCAGAUUUUUUAUUUGCUAGCUGAGGACAGAAAAUUUGUGCUUGUUUGGGUGCUGUGUCAUAUAUGUGGAUUGAUUGUUGAUUAUUUGGUUAACGUUGUGCCCAACCAGUGAUAUUUGGGGAAAGUUUUUACCCUAGUUGCCUGUUUAAUUAGUUUUGGGGGGAAUUUUGCUAUGUUUAUCUAAUUAAUUGAUUUUUGGGUUGAAUUGGUAGUAUUUGGCAAAAAUCUUGUCGUUCACAGGUUUAAUUAGUUUUUGGGGUGAGUUUAUUAUCCGUUUCUGCACUUGUUUGUGAUUGGGAGCUGUGACUGGGGGUCAUUUGCCUUGUUGGUUGUUUGUUGACAUAUUUUGAACACCAUUACUUUGCCUUUGUCUUGUCCACUGAUAUCCAAUGACCAAACCCAAGAACAAAGGCAAGAGCAAACCUUCCACCUCUACCCCACUGCCCACAGUCCCCUCGAGUGGAUCUGCCCCCUCAAUUUGACCGAGAGGACCCCGGACUGUCCUCUGCGGCACCUCCACCGUCUUCCUCCGCCGAUAGCCAGCUUGCAGUCCUUCGGCUCCAGAUGCAGCACAUGGACACUCGUAUGGAGCGGAUGGAGCGUCAAAUGGGCGGGAUGGCCCAGAAUUUAACACAGUAUCUCCAUCACGUGGGUUUCCGCCCGCCUUUCCCUCUCUAGCCGUAGUUCAGUUCUGCCCUCCUCAGUUUUAAGGGAAGUGUCGUUGCCCCAAUAUCUCUGUUUUGCUCUUUCUUUGCUUACAUUGAGGGCAAUGCAAGAUUUAGGUGUGGGGGGGUAGUAUAUUGGUAUUUUAUUGAAAAAGUGCAAGUGUAGGCAUUUUUGUUGGAAUUUUUUGUUUGACUUUGUCGAAUUUUGUCCAAUUUUUGCCUAUCUUUGUGCUUAUUUGUGAUUAGUCCUGAUAAACGAUGGUUAGAUGUCUCAAAUUUUUCUAUUGCUAAGAUUUUACACUUUAAGGUGUUGAGUAUGACAUGGUUGAUUUUAAGGGUAUCUUUUGGGUGAAUAUUUGAAAUUUUGUGACUUUUGCACUUUUUGGUUAACUUUUCUAAGUAUUGUAAAUAUUUGUCUAGCAUUUUUUUUGUGCAAAUUGGUUCAGCUAUUAAUCUUAGUUCUCCAUGUUUAAGAAAUGAAGCGGGUUUGUGUGGUAUUUAAUUUUAUUUUUGGUGCUUAUUUAUGAAUAGUAUUCAGCUAUACUCCGCUAGUAUCGUUGUCUAGUAACCGGAGGUCUUCACCACAAGUGUCGACUUUCGCGUCAAAAAGCAACGAUAACUAUGAGUAUGUGGUUUUUAAGCGAUGAUGGCUGAGUAACCGGGCUCCUUCAUGUGGCCAAUGUCGGAGUUCGCGUCAAAAUGCUUGAAUGGCUGAAAACUAAGCAUUCCCCCGAGAAAAAAAAAAAUCAAGUGGAGAUAUUAAAAAAAAAAAAAGUGCUAAUAGUGAAAAAUAUGAAUGAAUUGCUAGCCCGCUGACCCAUGAAUUUUAUUGUUGAGAUUUUGCUUAAUAGUUGAACCAUUUGCUUUUGGAUGCGGGUUGAAUAUUUUAUAUUCUUAGAUUAGUUAGUCAUAAAUUGAAAGAGUCCUUAAUCUUCAAAACUAACUGGAGAGAUAUUUCUUGAAAAGUGCCACUAAUACUUGACAUAAGUUUUAAUUAUAUCGUGGCAAUAAAAGAUUUGAGCAAUAGCCAUUGUUUGAAUUUGAUUACUUGAUUUAUGUUCUCAUGCUUGAGGACAAGCAUGGUUUAGGUGUGGGGGAAAUUGAUAAGUCAUAAUUUGUGCUAAAUUUAUAAUUAUUUUUCCCUUUGAUUUUAGCCAAAUAUUAUCUUAAUUGAUUAUUCUACUAAUAUUUGGUAUUUGGGAUUAAUUGCAGGAAGUGGUGAAGAAAAAGUACUGAAAAUCGUCAUUCCAGCAGAUUCCCUGAUAGUUUGGCGUGCCCACGCCUAACUCCAGCUUUCAAGGACGGAUUUUCGGGAUGAUUUGCACACGUGAAAGCUUCCAAAACUAAAUAAAGUAGCGGACUACAAUGCUGAAAAGCAGUGGGGCCAUUUCAAAAGCUGAAGAAAACUAUCUAUAAUAGGAUUCCUAUUGUUUAGGAAAAUUGGUACUUGGGUACCAACUUUGAAGGAGAGAAAUCAGGAUGGGAAUCUGUUUGUUCUCUCGGUGGGCCUGGCCUAAAAGGAAAUGGAUUUCCUUCAUCCCUUUGAGUGGCUAAAAACGUAGAGGAUUAGGAGACUUGGGGAGGCUUGUCUUUAAAUAUGUUUUUACUUGGAAAAGCUAGGGGGAAGGUACGGAGGUCGGGGACUUUUCCUCCGUAGCCGACUUUUACUUUUCUUCCUUGGCCGAUUUGGCCAGGAACAAUUUGGUAAGAUUCAGAUAGCUUUUUCGCAUGGUUGUUCUCCAUUAAUGGAGAACUAACCUUCUAAUUCUAGUCAAGGGACAACUGAAGAUUUGGUUCUGCAAUUACUGUGAGAUCGAAUUUAUUUUAAUCGCUUUCUCAUUUAUUGGUAUUUAUAUGAUUCCUGUUUUUAAUUGUUAUAGCUCUUGUGUAUGAUUGAUUAGUGCGCAAUAAUUAAUUAUUCAUAUAGGCUAUUUUGCUAAAUAGGGGUAAUUGAAUCCGUAAUUGUUCGUUACCUCUAUCCCAGUAGCAACUGGCGUAAUUGGGUUUAUGUCAGGGAAACAUACGAUCUAAUUUAAACAAACACUCUUAGCGUGUUUGUUAGUUAGGAUUGAGCUUUUCUAAUUUUUAAUGCAAUCUAGAAAUUAAAUUCUACGGUCGUACCUAGGAUUGUUUUUGGGUUAGAGAAAUAGUUAACGGUCGUACCUUAACUAUCGAGAAAGUAAGGAAAGGUUGGUUGUUUAUCGCGUGUAUGACAACUAUAACCACUCUAGUAAUAAAUGUUGGAAUUAUCUUUGAAUCAAUGAUCAGUGCGUGAACCAUUUUUGAAGUGUAUCCUUGGCUAGAGUUUCUCUAAGUAUUUCUUUCAAUUAAUUAUUCUCUGCAUUUAAUUUCUUUAGUUAGCAUUUAAUCCAAGAACCCCCCACACUUUGGAUUCUAGAAGAAACGAAUUAUCCCCAAUCCCUGUGGAUUCGACCCUACUCACCGCUAUAUACAAAAUCUGUAUUUUUCUCGAGUAGGUAUUUAUUAUUGUACAGGUUCGACACCUGUCAAGAGUACCCAUUUUCUCAUAAAUAAAUUUAUUUAUCAGAUAAAAUAAAAAUAAAUCUAUUUUUUAAUAAAAGACCAGCUCUUUAUGACUUUCCUCCAUUAUAAGAACAGAGUACCCAUUUUUCCAUAAAUAAAUUUAUUUAUCGGAUAAAAUAAAAAUAAACCUAUUUUUCAAUAAAAGAUUGGCUCUUUAUGACUUUCCUCCAUUUUAAGAACAGAGCACCCAUUUUUCCAUAAACAAAUUUAUUUAUCAGAUAAAAUAAAAAUAAACCCAUUUUUUCAAUAAAACACUAGGUCUUUAUGAUUUUCCUCCAUUAUAAGAACAGAGUACCCAUUUUGAAAGUAAAAAGGAAUUUGUUUAUCGGAUAAAAUAAAAAUAAACUCAUUUUUCAAUAAAACACCAACUCUUUAUGACUUUUCUCCAUUAUAAGAAAAGAGUGCCCAUUUUGUCAUAAACAAGUAACUUCUUUAAUUAGAAACCAUCGACCCCUUACCAAAGACGAUCAAAUGCAACUAAAUGAUUUUCUUGCAAGAAAGUUGCCAAUAGCAGCUUUGUGACUGUAGUUGCUACUUUUUUUUUCAACCAUUUUUCAACAGUACAAAGCACAAAGAUACUCAAAGCCAAAAGCCAAAAGCCAAUAUCUUUUUUCCCUAAACAGCAAUUCUACAGCUAAAAGCCAAAAGAAAAAUGAAAAAUGUCGAGAGCUCAAUUGCCAACAAAGCUCUUCUUCGCAGCAGCAUGUUGGGCCAACCACAGUACUCGCACGUACUUUCCUACAGCUCGUCCUGCAAAAGGGUGGAAGUAAGAGAGUUAAAACAAUUGAAAUUUCUGAUAACAAAUCAUCAUGGUUAACUCAGCACUGAAGGAUCAGACAAGCCCUUACUUUAACAUUUUCAUCAGCUGCGGCAGUAACAUCUUCCUUUGUUUCUGAUUUGACGUCUGCAUCAUCACUAUCUGCUUCAUCAGCAGCAUCAUCAUCAUCGCCUUCCUCAGCCUAAAAGAACAAGUUUUUCCCAUUAAGAAAGUGCACGUAAUAAGAACAUAUCACAGAUAAAAUCUAGAGCAAAAAUAGUCUCUUUUGAGAACAACAUUUAGUCAGGAAGUUAUAUAAGAAUCGACUGGGUCAUCCUUUGCUUCCUGAAACAAAAUCAGACAGGAGUUUGAGAUAUAAGUUGUCUCUUCAUAAUCAAGUGAUCACUGUUCAAAUAAUGCAGUAUAAAGGAAGUCCAAAGUCCAAACUAUACAGAAAUGGAAUUCAAAUGUACUCAAGACAUCAUGCAAUAGAGGAGAAUUAAUGAAAAGUACCUCCUCCUCUCUCUUCUUUUCUGCCUCAUCAAAAGCAGCUUUUUCAGCCUACAACAUGAACAUUUUCAUGUGUCAACAAGCAGACGAAAGUAAUUUAAACCUUUUUAUUUUUUUAUUUUUUGUGCAUCGCUUGGGGAAAAAAAAUUCCACAUACAUCCUUAUGCUUGCCCCAUGUCUCUUCAGCCAACUUCUUAGCAUAUUCAGGAUCAUCAGAUACCAAUACAUUGUCAAAUAGAGUUCCAGAUUUCACCUGAAGAGAUACCAAUACAUUGUCAAAUAGAGUUUUUCUUGCGAUUGUUAAAUUGACCAAAAAUGCAAGAAAAAGACAAUUGACAAAACAGAGAUGAAAAUAACAUAUUAAAAAACCUACACCAUCGCUUUUCCUUGAAGUCUGCCAUUACAUCGGAAGGGUCUUUAAAGUGUGUCCAUGAUUGUAUAAAUUCAGAUCUGGAUGCUAGAGAGGAAGAGGGGAACCAUAUGUCUAUGGGAAACUGAAAUUUGAUAGAGAGGGAAAGGGAGAUAGAAGGAGAAAGGUGCAGGGGAGGUUACGAUUGAACUUUCGAGCGCUCUGAUCUGAGAACAAUAUUUGGGAAAGUAGCCUUGCAAGUAUGGAAGGCUUGGAAUUCAUGUGGUGCUAGGCUUGACAAGUGCUGUGCUGGGAAUGGUUAAAAAAUUUUCAAUGCGCGGCUCUGCUAAAAAUUGGAAGGGAGCAAAAUUUUGAAAUUUUCACAAAAAAACACCCAUGAUUUCUCACCAAUAACAUAGAAACUUUGGCCCACUAGAAUCAGUAUUUGGAGGGAAGCUUUCCCGCUCUCCUUUUGGCGAGAAUUUUAAGCGAGAAAAGUCCUUGCCCUCACAGAGUAUAUGAUGGCUCCAAUUUUUGGUGAGGUAUUGUCCUUUUCCUUGCUAUAAGCCUCUGAAGAGCGUCAAGCUUUCUACUUCUUGCUAAAGUUGUUGUUGCUAAUACCCUUUUUUGUUGUAGUGAAGGGAGGAAAACCAUAAAAAACUGGUGUUUUAUUGAAUAAUAUAUUUAUUUUUUCAUCCGAUAAAUAAAUUUAUUUAUGAAAAAAUGGGUACUCUGUUCUUAUAAUAGAUAAAAACUAUAAAGAGCUUGUGUUUUAUUGAAAAACAGGUUCAUUUUUAUUUUAUUCGAUAAAUAAUAUUUUUUUUAGAAAAAUGGGUACUAUAUUCUUAUAAUGGAGGAAAGUCAUAAACAACUGAUUUUUUAUUGAAAAAAAGUUUAUUUUUAUUUUAUUCGAUAAACAAAUUUGUUUAUGGCAAAAUGGAUACUCUUUUCUUAUAAGGGAGGAAAGUCAUAAAGAGCUGAUGUUUUAUUGAGAAACGGGUUCAUUUUUAUUUUUUCGAUAAAUAAAAUUUUUUUUAUCCGAUAAAUAAAUUUGUUUAUGGCAAAAUGGGUACACGGUUCUUAUAAUAGAGGAAAGGCAUAAAGAGUUAGGAUUUUAUUGAAAAAUGGGUUUAUUUUUAUUUCAUCUGAUAAAUAAUUUUUUUAAAAAAAAUGGGUACUUUGUUUUUAUAAUAGGGAAAAGUCAUAAACAGUUUAUUUUUUUUUAUUGAGAAACGGGUUUAUUACAAUUUUAUUCCAGCCAACUGUGACCCAUUUUCCCAUUAACCUAAGUUAGAUGGACUAAAUCAUUGAGUUUGUUAACUACAGUCAAAAUUAACACAGAAGCAACUGACUCAAAUUACUCAAUCCUUUAUGGCUUAUACCAAAUGAAUACUAGGAAGCUUAUUUGAAAUAACAAUAAAAAUAUUCUAUAAAUGAUUAAAAUUUAGUACAUUAGUUAGUAAGUACUCGUAACAUACUUGUAUAAUGCAUGAUUAUAUGUAUAAUUUAAUAUUCUUUUGUACUUAUAUAUUUUAAAAUAUUUUGAUCUUUCACAUAACCUUAGAAAAUAAUAAUAUUUUAUUUUAUUAUAAAAUAAUAAUUUUAUCUUAUUAUAUUCAUAGGUUUUAAGUUAUAAAAAUUGUGAUAUAGAAACAAGUGAUAUUCUACAUGUAACUAGGAAGAUUUGUUGUUAUUGUUAUCCAAACUUUCAAAUUUUUUAAAAAUUGAAAAUGAUUACAAACUUACUAUUCUACAAUUAGUAUAAUUUGUUAAUUAGCCAAAAUUCUAGAAAAAGGCAAGCAAAUGCAACUUGUAAUCAAUCCAUUCUGAUGCAUGAAAAAAUAAGGUAGCAUUGUGCAAAUAAAUAAAAAAAUCCACUUUAUAUAGUUCGUUGUGACAACCAGGCUUAUCCCCACUUUUGUUUGAGUUUUGAUUACAAUGGAUAUAACCUAUUCCCUCCAAACCCCAAAUUUUGAAUUGUAACAUUCAACCAAAACAUGCUCAAACUCUCAGGCUCGGUCAUACAAGGACAACUAGUGUGAAUAUCCGUGCUACGCAUGGUACUUACAUUAUUAAAAUAAAUUAAAAAAUUAUACCAUUUUAAUUUGAAAAAAGUUAAAAAAAUGAUACCAACAUAAUUAAAAUUUAAGAUUUGUCUAACAAUAGUUCAAAAUAUGACAAAAACUGUAAAUCAUUCAAGAAUUGUGUUUUUGCGGAAGAUGGAUCUUAAAAUAAUAAUAAUAAUUUAUAUUAGAAAAUGAAUAAUAUAUGGAUAGAAAUAAAUAUAAUUGCAUGUUUUAUUUGAUUUUAAAAUGAAAUACUUACCAACAUUAUGCAUUCGAUUUGAUAAUCUUGUACAAAGGUGCGAACAUUUUUUACACCAAUCAACUUUUAGUAUGAAAAUUAAUAUUGGUGGUUUAAUUAAUUCUAUUGAAUUUUGAAGAAUUCGUACUACACAAAAAGUUCAGCAAGACUUGUAUUUUUUUUUGAAGUGAACUUGUUGCAUCUUUUUAAAAUAUUUCAUUGGGAUCACUAUGGUGUGAGAUUCGCUUUGUGAUUAGUUAUUGUUUUUCUUUGUAAUCUUGUAGGUUUGAAAUUAAGAUGCCAUUGAAAUCAAUAAUGGAACCAAUGGGGGCUAAUGGAGGUCAUAGCCCUCCUCCCCAAGUUUUAAAAAUUUUAAUUCAUAUUAUAUAAAUAUUUGUGUAAAAUAAAACAGGUCCUCCAAAUUUAUUAUAAUUUUAGUUUAUAUUAUGAGAAUAUAUAUAAGUAUAUAUGUGUACGUGUGUGCGUGAAAUAACUACAUUUGGGUGGGAUCACCAUAGUGUAAAAUUCAAUUUGUGAUCAGUUAUUUUCUCUUUUGUAAUCUUACAGGUUUGGAACUAAGACGCUAUUGAAAUUUGUUUGGAUAGAGAGUUAUUUAAAAUAUUAUUUGAAAUAAUUGUGAUAGUACUUUUUGUUAUAUGAUGUAUGUGAGAUAAAAAGGUGGGUUGAAAAAUGUGUUUAUAAUGUAAGCAAAAUAUUAUUUGGAAAAAUCUGCUAUCCAAACACUCCCAAACUAAUAGGGACUAAUCGGGGCCAUAGGUCCCUUCUUCCCAAAGUUUUAAAAAUUUUAAUUCAUAUUGUGUAAAUAUUUGUGUAAAAAAAAGUUAGCCCUCCUAAUUUUUUUUAUAAUUUUAGUUUAUAUUAUGAGAAUAUAUAUAUAUAUAUAUAUAUAUGUAUAUAUGUAUGCGUGUGUGUGUGAAUUAACUACCUUUGAAUUAAUUUUUUAUUAAAAAAUUAUUUAUUUUUUAAUCCCUUUAUAAUUUGUGAAUGAUUGUGAGAGUAAAAUAUAUUAUGACAAUAAGAUACGUUGAAUUGUGGAAAUUGUAAUUUAAACAGGCUACUAAAUUUUGGAUAUUUGACUUUUGUAGUUGUGAAUUUCUUAAAUUAACGAUUAGUUAUUACUAUCAGUGAUAUAAUAAGUGUCAGUAAUAAAUGUGAGAUGUGAAUUGAAAUUUGUAGAUAUCAUUUUACAGGGGUGGUUAUUAUCUGUUAGUUAAAGUUUAGGAGUUUGAAUUUUAUGGGGUAGUGGAAAAAACGUUAGGGAAAUAUGAGAAAAAUAUGAGCAUGAUUAUAGAAUUUGUAGGAGCGGUUACAUGAUUAGUUAAGAGAUAAACAUUUUUUAAUUAUAAAAAUGUAAAAUUCUAUUAAAAUAGCAUUCAAACUUUUGACAAUUUUGGAAGCUCCUUAUCCAAAACCCCCUCAGCAAUACAUAUAGUUAUACUAAAUGAUAGUUAUGGUAGCGAAAUAGUUUUUACCUAAUAUAACAUGUUGUUGCACUUUUAGCGAUCAUUUGAUUUAUUAUUGGACCUAUUCACCUAAAUAGAAUAACACCUAAAAUUAUGGAAGUAAGUUUCCUAUCUAAAAUAGUAAGUUAAGCCUAAUAAAUUAGUAACUUUUAUACCUCAAAAGGUAAAUUGGAAUAAAUAUUAAACUUAAUUUUUAAAUAAAUAGAUUACUACUUUAUAUCCCAAACUUACUUUUAAAAGAGUAAGUUUAGUUCAAAUAACAGUAAGUUUUUAUACAUAAAUAGUAAUUCUUACUAAUAACAUGGUAAUAAAAAUGAUUAAGGAUCAAAAUUUACCAUUUUUUGGAAUACAUGUACAAUUUUUACAUUAAAACCUUAUCUCAAAGUAGUAUUAGGAAGUUUAUUUGAAAUAAUAAUAAGAUAUUUUAUUAAUGAUUAAAACUUACUACCUUAGUUAGUAAGUACUCAUAAUAUACCUGUAUAAUAAAUAACUAUGGGUAUAAUUUAACAAACUAGAUUUACGGGUCUUAUUUAAAAUAAAGCUUAAAUUUAUUAAAUUCUUCAUUUUAUAUGCUUACAGUGUUUAAGUUCUCCGCCAAGCUUCGCACCUUUUUUGUUGCACUUACUUUCACUUACGACCCUCUCACUUUGACAGUUGCUUAUUUUAGGCACUUCACAUUUCACUUUUACACUUUGAAAUUCCCUCAACUUUUCCUAUCCCUUUUCCACUUAACUUCAAUGCCCAACAAGUCUUCAGGUUCCAGGUCACAAAAGACCUUUACACGUGUCUAUCCAACACACUUUCCCUACCAUUUGUGGCCACAAUCAUACCGCAGCAACUUUCCACACCUCUUCUCUGACUCCUAAACAUACCGCAACAACAUCCUAGAAAAAAUAUUGAAUCAUGGUCAAUAAAUAGCACAAAAGUGGCUGAUUUUGGAGACAAACAUAUCAACUUUGAAAGGCAUGUCUGAUUUUGAUGGACUACAAGUACACCUAAAAGUUGGAGAAAGACAGAAUUUGGAGGAAAUGCAUGGUCGUCUUCUAUGACCAUCAGAAGCAUUCUCUGACUCUAAGUAGUUGAGCUCCAUUGUUAAAAGUUUAAAGCCCAACUAAGAAUUGACCUUGAUGUCGUUUGAUGACUCAAAUGCCGAGUGACCCUGCUGGAGAAAAAUCUCUCCAUUCUAGCUGCCACGUAUCACCUAAUAAGGGUUGCUAUAGUGAAAGAGGACCCUUAUUUACCUAGUAAGUAGAUAUAGAUAUUUUAUUAUAAAAAAAGGUUAAACUUGAAAAAAAAGUGUUGUCGGAUGAUUGAAUCUAAGAUCUCUCUAAUUUUUAGAGUCUCAUGGAAAAAAAGUAUUGUCGGAUGAUUGAAUCUAAGAUCUCUAGUUUUUAGAGUCUCAGCUUUAACUGCGAAAUUAAGAUCCCCUCAGUUAAUUGCACCUAGAUCUAAUUUAUGACACACGUGAAUUCCAUCAUUUAUUUAUACAUGAAAGGCCUCUUAAAAGUAAUACAUAAAAAACCUCUUAAAACUAAUACAAUUUAUAGAGAUUUUUUUGUAGGGAUAUUUUUUCUAAUUUAUUAUUUGGGAAAAAGGAGCAUAAAACAACAUAGUAACACAAUUGUAUAUUUUAUUAUAAAAAGACAAUAAACUCAUACAAAAAAUAUUGUCGGUAAAAAAAAAAUUUUGUGAUUAUUAUUAUGCAUUGAAAUCAUAGCAAUAGCAUUCAAAUAGCAAAGAGAAUAAACCCCCCCCCCCCCCCCCCCCAAAAAAAAGAGAAAAGGAUAUGAAUUGUUUUUUAAAAAAAAAUAACAAUUCCAUCCAAGAGGUUAAAACAAAAAAUAGAUUGCACUUGUAUCUAUUUUUUUUUUCCUAGUAGAGGAUAGGUGGAACUAACAAGGAGAUUUAUACUUAGAUCCUCUAAUUUCUGGAAUCUCAAAUUUAACUACUAAACCAAGACCUCAGAAACUGAUUACACCUCUAUGUCUUUUAGUUAUACAUGAAAGCCCUCUUAAUAAAAGUAAUAAUAAGGAUUGCAGCAGCACUACAAUCAUAUAUCAAGCUUAUUUCUUUUCCUUAAAUUGAAAAAGCGAAGGCCUUAAUAAAACUCCGGGCACAAAAAUGAAUACAAAUUUGUUGCAAAGUGGGUAAAAAAAAUUUGUGAACAAUUUUUUCUCUAACUUAUUAUUAAAAAUAGAAAGAAAACAACUGAGUAAUACAAUUAUAUAUUUUAUUAUAAAAAAGCUCACAAAAAAUUACAAUUUAGGCAAAUGAUUAUGACAAAGAUGCAAUAAAAUGGGUAGUUCAAAAUCUAGGAUGAAUUUUUUUCUUAAUCUAUCAUUAGAAAAAAGCAGUAAACAAUAUAGUAACACAAUUGUAUAUUAGGAAAAAAAAAGAAUAAACGUGCACAGAAAUUUUGCACUAAAAAAGAAUGUUUUUUUCAAUUAUUAUUACAUAAGCAAUAGAAUUCAAAUAACAAAAAAAAGAAAGAAUAAAACCCCACAAAAUAUAGAAAAAGAUAUCAAUUGUAUAUAAAAAAAGAAAAAAAGGUAUAAAAGAAAAGAAAAAAUAACAACCCCAUCUAGCAAGGGGAAAAAGGGGAUCCUAUCCGUAUUUAAUUUGUAAGAUACAGGGGAAUAUCGUAAUUCAUAAAAAAAAAAGAAAACAUUUCAAAAGCAAUAAGCAUUCCAAUAGCAGCACAAUUAUACCAUCAUUUACUAUUUACAUUUACAUAAAAAGGUAAGAACUCUAGUAGAAGUGCUGCUAUUAUUACCGAGUGCUGCUAAGAUAAUAAUAGUAAUAUAAUAAUAAAAGUAACAAUAUGGUAAGCAAUUUAAUAGCAAAAAGUUUUUGGAAAAAAAAGGAAAAAGAAGGGGGAAAAAGAGCAAAACCGGUAAGAAAUGCGGCACCACCACAGAUAUAAUAUAAUUUAAGAAGAGUACCGCGUAAUAAUAAAGAAUUUUGGCAGACGCAAUUUCUUUGGCAAACUAUUUUUCAAGAAAAAGAAGAAAAAUACAUAAUAGCACAAUUGCAUAUUCUAUUAUAAUAACCAAAAUAUUAUGAAAAACAAUAACCUUGAGAAAGAAUAUUUUCGGUAAAAAGAAAUAAACAUGAGAAUUAAAGUUAAUUUCUGAUAGGGUGCUAAUUGUUAGUAAUUUUAUUGUUAAUUUCCCCCUUUGUCCUUGCCAAAUAUUGUUUAAAUUGUUAAUAUAUACUUAUAUUUGGUAUUUGGACCUAUCUACAGGGAAGUUGAACUGAAAUAUACUAAAAAGGAGGACCUGUUGAGGAAAAUUGCUCCACACGUGGGAGAUUCCAAAGAGCUUCACAAACCCGGGCCCACAAGGUGCCACAGACGAUUGCACCUCUUUUGCUGAUUAGAAGUUUUCCUAUGAAGAGGAAACUAAAAUCAAGGACUUCGGCAGAGCUCCAAUUCUUUGGCCUUUGGACUCUCAAUUCGGUGGGGACCACUAGAUAGAUAGCAUUGAGUCAUUUCUUUUGGCUUUAAGGAAACAAACGUACAGAGGAGAAGAAAGGCAUUAGUCUUUGUGGCUUGUUCCUUAUUCGUGGGGACCACGAGACGAGUAGUAGUUUUUGUUUUAGAAUAGGAGAGCUUCGUUUUGUUUUUGUUCUUGCUAGUUCCUUCGUAUUCAUGACUAUAUAUAGCUUCUUUGCCGUCUCUUCUAGGGGGAUGACGGAAACAUAGCUUGUUUUCAAUAAUUACUUCUGCACUUUUGAAUGGGAUUUCCUCCAUGAAGAUGAACUAAUUCAUUUUUUCUAGUCGAAGGUCAAUUUGAAGAUUCGGUUCCGAACAUCUGUGAGAUCUAAUUAUUUUAUUUAUUUCUUUUAUUUAUUGGUAUUUGUACGUUUCCUGAUUUAAUUGUUUAUGAUUGUUUUGUUAUUUGAAUGUCAAGGGUCCGAUAUUCGAAUUAACCUAAUAAUCUACUGUCAUAUUAAUUGAUUGAAUCCGUAAUUGUUCUAUCGAUUAAUACCAGUGGCGACUAGCGUGAUUGGUUUCAUGUUAGGGAAACGUAUGAUCUAACUUAAACAAACCCUCGUAGCGUGUUUGUUGGUUAAGGUUGGGCUUUUCUAAUUAUUAAUGCAGUCAAGUAAUUAAAUCCUAUAGUCGUACCUAUGGUUAUUUCUUGGUUAGAGAAAUAGUUAACGGUCGUACCUUAACUAUCGAGAAAUUAAGGAAAGGCUGGUUGUUCAUCGCGUCUAUGGCAACUAUAACCAAUCUAUUAAUGAGCAAUUGAAUUAUCUUUGCGUCGAUGAUCAGUUGCAUGGACCGUGUCUGAAAAGUUGUAGCUUUGGCUAGAGUCAUAUUGGUUAUUGAUUAAUUUCCAUUUAUUUCUAUUAGUUGUUUUAUUAGUUAGUUAAUUAGUUAUUUUAUAUUCUUCAAAAACCCCCCAUAUCUGGAACUUGAGAAGAAAUUAAAUUAUCCCCAAUCCCUGUGGAUUCGACCCUGCUUACCGCUAUAUACAGAAUUUGUAUUUUAUUUGAGCAGGUAUUUAUUAUUGCACAGGCUCGACACCCUGUCAAUUUUUGGCGCCGUUGCUGGGGAUUGGUGCCAGAUUAAUUUGUUUCUUUUUGAGUUCAUCUUGUUUUAUUUUUAUUUAUUUAUUUUUCUCUUAUUUUUUUUAUAUAGUUUAUGGCUUCUAACACUCCGUAUUUUGGUGAUAGACUGGAUUCUGUUUCCAGGGAAGGCAAUAAGGCUUGUUUUUUUGCUAAGUUUGCAUAUUCAGAUGCACUAAACUCUAUUAGAGAAAGAAUGGCUGCUGCAACCUGUAAAAUUUGUUAUGCCAGGGAUCAUUCAACCGGUAUGUGCCCCGAAUAUCAAGAUAAUCUGAGUAUCCCACUCAAUAAUUAUGGAGAUUUUUCACCCUGAUCUCAAACGUGGUAUAACCCUAAUCCAAACGGGUAUGAUCAAGGAUGGUGGGAUAACUCCAGUUAUAAUUAUACAACAGGGCCAAUGAAUUUUCAGCAGUAUGAUUCUUAAGAAUCAUCAUCUAUGUCAGGUAUGUCUCUUGAAGAAAUAGUUGAAUCAAUAGCUACUAAUACAUAUCAAUUCCAACAGGAGACACAAAUGAGAAAUGGGAUGAUGAAGGAUGCAAUGAGUAAUCUGGCAGAUCAAAUAUGUCUAUUGACAUCCAGAAUAAAUCGAUUGGCUUCUCAAAUUGAAGAAUUGCCCUCGAAAAUCAUUGUUGAUUUUGAAGAAAAUGAGAGUGCAAUUUGCUUGACUAGUGAUGAGGAGAUGUAAGAGUGUCAAAAUGAGAGAUCUACAGAUGCAGUUGAAAAAGAAGUCGAAAAGGAAGAAAUGGAACCACAACCGCAACCCAUUCAAGUGAAAGAAUCCAGUGAAGAAUCAUCAAAUGUGGUGACACCACCUCCAUUCCCUAACCCGCAUUUUCUUAACUCUUACUCUAUGAUUUCUGUUAAUGAGAUUGAUUUUGUUAUACCGGAAGUUUUUGAGUCUCAUGGCAGAAAUAAGUUAAGAGUAGCUAUGGUCAAAUAUCUUGAACCGUUGAGUGCUCUUGAUGGAGGAGUGGAUGAAGAAUUGAAAUCACUGCUUGAUUAUUUGGCGCCAUCUACUAGUCCAAGGAAAACCGUAACUCGUGUGCUCAAGGAUUACUCUAUUUACGAGGGUUAUCAGGACUAUAUAAAGGAUGAAGCAUUGAAACGAAACACAAGAUUUUAUCCUCCCUGAGCAAAGAUGACAAUGUCUAGCCAAAGACAUUAAAGAAAGGCGCUUUUUGGGAGGCAACCCAAAUAUUGAUUUUAUUAUUUUUCGUUGUUCAUUUCUUUCGUUUUUCGUUUCUCAGUUGAGUAGUAAUCGGUCUUCAUAUUUUUCUCCACUGUGGCAGGAAGUGCAAUCUUGGCGUGCUCACGCCAUGUUUGUGACUCUUGAGGUCAGUAGACGUUUAUCAAUUUUGGCGUGCCCACGCGGUGUUUGACGACCCAAAAACAAAAGAAAAAUUUUUAUUUUUAUUUUUAUUUCUCUUUAUUUUUUAUUGAAUUUUUUUGUUUUGAAAAAUAAAAAAGAAUACUUUCCAUUGUAACCUGCGAUUUUGUUUUGAAAAAUUCAAAUUUUAAACUUAAAAAAAAAAACUCCCCAAAAACUUUUUUUUUUCUCUUUUCUUUUCUUCUUUUUCUUUCUUUCUUUUUCUUUCUUUCUUUCUUUCUUUCUUCCCCACUGCCCUGCUUCCGUUUUCUUUUAUUUCUUCUUUCGGCUGCCCUUCAUCCGCCACCACCCACUUCGCAUCAACUCCCCAUCGCACACCGCUGCCCAUCACGAGCCACUCGCCUCGCCAUCCGCCGCUAGUGACGCCCUCCAGCAGCACCGCCGCACCACAUCGCAUGCCGCCGCUCGCCCACCCUCUUGGCCGAGCAGCGCAGCUCGUCUCUCUCCGCCAUUACCUGCCGCGCGCCACUGCCUCCCUCGCUCCCUCCACUGCUGUCCGCAGCUGCCUUGGCUCUCUCCACGAGGUGCGCAGCUCAUGACCACCGCAACCUCUCCUUCUCCUCUCACUCUCCCUCUCGAGCUCACACUCUACCUCGCCUCGCCAUCCAUCAGUUCGCUACCCACCACAUCAGCUCGACCUCUACCAUGGACCUCCACCUCCACCAGCUCACGGCCAACACCAUCAGCAGCAUCCUCCUCUGCUCCGCACACCGCGCGUAGCCCACGGACGACCAGCGCCGCCCGCUUCCCUCUCUCCCCGUCGCCCACGCCGAGCCUCGCUCUUCUCACCACCUGUCAAUUUUUGACUGGUGGAGGUAUUGAGUUUCUCCCCUGAUUAGCAUCCUUCUAGAUCUUAAAUUGCUGCAGUUGUGUCUUCUUCUGGGGUUUCUUGUUGAGCCAUCACAGGAGCUGUUUUACUUGAUUUUUCACUUGUGAUUUGUUUGGGGCUUCAUUUGCAUUUUUGGGGUUGAUUUGGGGUUUCUUGGCAAAUUGUUUACCGUUUUGUUUUCUUCUAUUUCUGCUCUGCUUGGUGUCGUGGGAUUUAUCAGUGAUUUGGGGUGGCCGUUUAUAACUACAUUUGUUGAUACUUGGUUCUAGUUGGUGGGCUACUUGAUUGAAAACUGCCAAACAUUUUGAUUUAGUUGUAGUCCAAAUUUUGAACUACUAUUGCUGGUUUUGACGGUUUCUUGGGUCAUUUGCUAAUUUUGGUAGGUUUAACUGGGUAUUUGACUGUCCAAUUGGAGACAGUUGUUGAGAUUUUGGGUGGGUUUGUGUCCAAUUGCUGAAAUUUGUUGCUUUGUUUAGUCACUCACACUGCUCAUAGUUUGUUCGAGUGAAAUUGGUUGGACGUCCCUUGCCUGUGGAGUUUAACUGUUACAUUGUUUGGGGUGAUUUUCUGGUAUUGAUCGAAUUGUUGGGCAUUAUUUGGGGUUUUGGCUGCUUGAGACCCUUAUUGCACCCUUAGUUGAGUAAUUUUCUGGGUUGGUUUGUUGAAUUAGUAUUGCCAUUGGUUGACUCUAAAUACCUUGUUUGGGGAGUAUUCGAUUUUGUGAUUUCAAUUGCUAAGCUCAUUGGAGCACUUGCAGCGAUUUUGAGUUGCAUUAUUUCUGCAUUGACUAAUAUUCAGACCACCAUUGCUUAUUGUUUGUAAUAGCUGCUUUGUUGAGACUUUCGCCUAGUCCUUCGGCGCCUGAAGUUUCCAUUUUCUUGAUUGGAGUGGUCCUUUUUGUUGCUUCAUUAUCUGUGCGAGGCACUAGUGGUACGGGUUGGGGUAUUUUGACUGCAUUUGUUCAUUCUCCUUGGUUGGCUGCUUGAUUGAAAGCUCAGAGCUUGUGACUAAGUUGUUAUUGCUUAAAUUCUAACCUACUAUUACUGGACUUGCUGAAUUUUAGGGGAAAUUUGUUGCGAUUUUGGGUAGAAUUGAGUUCAUUUGUUGAGAUUUGUUGAUUUAUUUAGACUCUAUUACCGCUUCUAGCCUGUUUGAUUGCCAUAUUCAUUGGAAUUGACUGCGUUCAAGCACAUUGUUGGAUGUCCUCGGCCAUUGAUUGAAACUGCUGCAUUGUCUGGAAAUUUGCUGGUUUGAUGUUCUCUGUUGCACUCUAGUUCGCCUGGAUCAAGACGCACGUCGGAGCUCUCCUUCCCUCUACAAUCUUUCACUGCCGCGCACUACCGUAGCACCAUUUUCACUCCACCGUUCCCACCUAUUCCAUAGCCGCCCGAGACCUUCCACCACGUAUUCAGGGAAGUGUAGUUGUCCUAUUCGCUUUCUUUACUUUAUGAUCUCCAUUGAGGACAAUAUCGGAUUUAGGUGUGGGGGGGAGAGCUGUGGUACAGCUGGUAUUUCUGGUGUUCAGUUUUUAGUUUUUUUUCCUUUAUUUUCAUUGUUAUUUGUUCUAUUUUUCGUUUAUUUUCUUUUUACUUUUAUUAGUGAUCAACUCUUUUGUGACUACCAAGGUUUGAUAAUGGUUGUUGUCUCUAAUUCUGAUAUUGCCAAGUUUUAGUAAUAAAAGGGUAUCAAGUUAAUGGGGUUAAGUUCAGGAACAUCUUUCUGGUGAAUAUCAGUAAUUGCUUGACUUUUCUAAUUUUUGGUUAACUUUUCUAGGCAUAGGGAAUGAUUGUUGGCAUUUUUUAUGUGAAUUGGUCCAGUUAUUAAAUUUAGUUAUCCAUAUUUGAAAAUUUGGGGCUGACUGCUGUUAUUUUUUGUGUUAUUUUUAGUUAUUGUGCUAUAUGGUUAUAAAUAAGAGGUGACUGUACUCCACUAGUUGUUACUACUGAGUAACUGGAGAUUUUCACCUAAAGUGUCGAUUCUCGCGUCAAAAGGUAGUAGUUACUAUGAGUGCGUGGUCCCGUAGCGAUUGGAGCUGAGUAACCGGGCUCCUUCAUCUGUCAAAUGUUGGAGUUCGCGUCAAAAGACUCUAAGGGCUAUAGACUAAGUCUUUUGUUACUAAAAAAAAAACAAAAAAAAAAGUAAAGUAAAGAUUGUGUUAGUAUGUGAAUAAGUCAGCUUGCCAGUUUGUGAUCUUAAUGUCGAGAUUUUGGUUAAUAGUUGGACCAUUUGCUGAUAAAUGUGAGCAACCAUUCCUUUUUCUUAGAUUAGUUUGAUUUAAAUUGAAGGAGUUGGUGGUUGGGAAGCUAACUGGGGUGGUCUUUCUUGGAUCUUAACUUGUGAUGCUUGAUAUAUAUUUUUCUGGGUAUCUUGGCAAUACGGUAGUUGGAGCAACAGCCAUUGUCAAAUUUUGGUGUUCAAUUGCUGUUCUCAUGCUUGAGGGCAAGCAUGGUUCAGGUGUGAGGGGAAUUGAUAGGGUGCUAAUUGUUAGUAAUUUUAUUGUUAAUUUUCCCCUUUGUCCUUGCCAAAUAUUGUUUAAAUUAUUAAUAUAUACUUAUAUUUGAUAUUUGGACCUAUCUACAGGGAAGUUGAACUGAAAUAUACUAAAAAGGAGGACCUGUUGAGGAAAAUUGCUCCACACAUGGGAGAUUCCAAAGAGCUUCACAAACCCGGGCCCACAAGGUGCCACAGACGGAUUGCACCUCUUUUGCUGAUUAGAAGUUUUCCUAUGAAGAGGAAACUAAAAUCAAGGACUUCGGCAGAGCUCCAAUUCUUUGGCCUUUGGACUCUCAAUUCGGUGGGGACCACUAGAUAGAUAGCAUUGAGUCAUUUCUUUUGGCUUUAAGGAAACAAACGUACAGAGGAGAAGAAAGGCAUUAGUCUUUGUGGCUUGUUCCUUAUUCGUGGGGACCACGAGACGAGUAGUAGUUUUUGUUUUAGAAUAGGAGAGUUUCGUUUUGUUUUUGUUCUUGCUAGUUCCUUCGUAUUCAUGACUAUAUAUAGCUUCUUUGCCGUCUCUUCUAGGGGGAUGACGGAAACAUAGCUUGUUUUCAAUAAUUACUUCUGCACUUUUGAAUGGGAUUUCCUCCAUGAAGAUGAACUAAUUCAUUUUUUCUAGUCGAAGGUCAAUUUGAGGACUCGGUUCCGAACAUCUGUGAGAUUUAAUUAUUUUAUUUAUUUCUUUUAUUUAUUGGUAUUUGUACGUUUCCUGAUUUAAUUGUUUAUGAUUGUUUUGUUAUUUGAAUGUCAAGGGUCCGAUAUUCGAAUUAACCUAAUAAUCUACUGUCAUAUUAAUUGAUUGAAUCCGUAAUUGUUCUAUCGAUUAAUACCAGUGACGACUAGCGUGAUUGGUUUCAUGUUAGGGAAACGUAUGAUCUAACUUAAACAAACCCUCGUAGCGUGUUUGUUGGUUAGGGUUGGGUUUUUCUAAUUAUUAAUGCAGUCAAAUAAUUAAAUCCUAUGGUCGUACCUAAGGUUAUUUCUUGGUUAGAGAAAUAGUUAACGGUCGUACCUUAACUAUCGAGAAAUUAAGGAAAGGCUGGUUGUUCAUCGCGUGUAUGGCAACUAUAACCAAUCUAUUAAUGAGUAAUUGAAUUAUCUUUGCGUCGAUGAUCAGUUGCAUGGACUGUGUCUGAAAAGUUGUACCUUUGGCUAGAGUCAUAUUGGUUAUUGAUUAAUUUCUAUUAGUUGUUUUAUUAGUUAGUUAAUUAGUUAUUUUAUAUUCUUCAAAAACCCCCCAUAUCUGGAACUUGAGAAGAAAUUAAAUUAUCCCUAGUCCCUGUGGAUUUGACCCUACUUACUGCUAUAUACAGAAUUUGUAUUUUAUUUGAGCAGGUAUUUAUUAUUGCACAGGCUCAACACCCUGUCAAUUUCUGCAUCCUUAUUUUUAGCUACUAAACUAGGACGUCGUCGUCAGCUGAUUACACCUAUUUAACUCAUAACACACGCAAAUUCCAUUAUUCAUUCAUACAUCAAAGAUCCUUUAUUAAAUCCCACAAUUCAGCAAAGACCUCUCAAAGGUACCACAAUUCAUAAAGAAUUUUUGCCAGUGUAAUUAUUUUGGCAACUUAUUAUUAAGGAAAAAAGGAGAAAACAACACAAUGGUACAACUUAUUAUUCUAAUAAUAAUAAUAAUAAAUUAAUCAUAAUAUGGCAAGCAAUUUAAUAGCAAGAGAAUUUUGGGGGGGGGGAAAGGAAAAAAGAAACCAGGGAAAAAAAUGAGAACAAAACCAAUAUAAGAAAUGUAGCAACACCACAAAAUUAUAUAUUCUAAUAAAAAUAAUACUAAUAAUAACUGUAAUACACACAAUACAAAAAUAAUAGCAUGGCAAGUAAUUAAAUAACAGCAAAGUUUGGGGAAAAAAGGGUGAAAUGAAGAGGGGGAAGAAAAGAAAUCCAGCACCACAACAAAUAUAAUAUUACACAACAAGAAGAAUAAAAAGAAAAAAACGGAAAGAUAUUAAGGGAUUUGGACAUCAUCAGUUUAAGUUGAAUUAAUCCACCAAAUGUACAUUGUAGAAAAUAGAGAGGAGUCUAAGUCCCUAAUUUAAGCACUCCUUCCCACUUAAUAUGCAACUUUUUUUUAAUAUACAAUAUUUCCAAAGGUCAAAAGUAACAUAACCAAGUUUUUUUCCAUUUUUUUCUUGUCUCUUCUUAAUAUUUGUUGCAAAAAGAAGAAGAAGAUAUUUUAACAUAUUAAUUAAUUGAGUAAAAAUAGAAGCAAUUUAGAAGUUUCUGUACUACUCUGACUGAAAUACAGAAAUGCCUUGUGGAAUGUAUCUUGCACACAGACGUGUGCUCAGCUAACUACAAGCAUCAUAUCAAUUUGCAGCAGAAUUAAAAAAAGGAAUUGAGACUGGUUGCAUCAACUCAAACAAAAAGGAAAAAAAAAAGGAAUUGCUUUCAAGAAACUUGAAUUAGACACGUUGUGAGGGGAUUGAUUCUGCUUCUGAGGGACUAGAUUCUGAUUCUUCUUUGCUGGAACUUCAUGCACCAACACAAUCUUCAAUUGAGAUCUUUAGAGUCUCAUUUCCCAUAUCUCUCUGUUCUUGUUGAAUUUGCUUCACUGAACUUGCAACAGACUCACGACACCAUCUCACCUCAAUCAUUUCGAGAUUCGCACAUUCCCCUAAACAAGAAGGCAACUCUUCCAACUUCGGACAACUUCGGACAACCAAUUUCUCAAGACGGGGAAAAUUAUCAAAAGAUGCAGUCCAGCUACAAAAGUCCUACAAGCCUCUCAAUUUCAAGAUUCGGAGGCUAGGGAACUCCACUUCUUUCAUUUUCCAUUCUUCCCCAAGGGCUGAGUAAACGAAUUUAAGCACUUCAAGAUUGGGCAACUCUCCAAUUGUUGAGAUUUCACUCCAUGGCUGAUCAGUCACUCGGAGUGUCAACUUCUUCAAAUUCAAUGGGAAUUUUAAUCCAUAUUCGUAUAAGAAACGCAGAGUAAGUGAUUCUAGUUGACUAAAAUAGUCAAACACGAGAAUCCCGUUGCCAAUUCUUGUAGCUUCUUCUCUUGAUUUCCUCAUGUUACAUCUCAGCCUGCGGAUGCUUGGUAACUUUGCCAGUGUCUUUUGCAAGCUUUGAGAGGAGGAAUCAAUGGCAAGGCUUAAAGUGUCUAAAUGAUCUAAACCUGGGGAUACUUCAAGAUUUUCAACAGGAAAAAUAAAACCAGCAUAGGAAUAUGUAAUCCAUAGAUGCCGCAAUGUCUUAAUGUUCCAGAUAGUCUUGGGUAACAAACAAUCAGCGUAGUUUCCUCGUCCCAGAAAAGUUUGUAACCUUGAGAGGUUAGCAAUUGCAGCUGGGACGAAACUUGCUUCUUUAGUACGAAGAGCCAAGUAUCUCAAGUGAACAAGCAAAAAUACUUCCAUAGGAAAAUAUGCACCAAACUCCAAUUCCCCCAAAUCCAACACUCUUAGAAGUUUAGGUAAUCAAAACCCCAAAUCAUCCUCCUUAAACAAUAACAAACUGCGUACAUUGGGAAAUUCUAGCAUCAACUCCCCAUUCAUCGGAUUACAAACUCGGUGGAGGUUGCUUGGGCUAGUAAGAACAAAAGGACCAUUCUGACUAUGCAAAACAUGUAGAAAGUUUUCUUCUUUGGCUUUUUUCACACAAAACUCAUGUACCAAAUCAUGAACUCGGCAGGCUUUAACACCACCCAUGGUUCUUUGUUUGGAAACCAUAACUAAACUUCUAUCAACUAUAUCCUUCAAGUAGUCAUCUGCAACAUCCUCUAAGCCUUUUCCUUUAGUCCUUUGCACGAAUCAUUCAGAGAUCCAAAGCCAUGACAACAUUUGGACAGGAACAUUUUCGUCUUCUUGAAAUGCACCAAGGUAAAGAAGGCAUGGCUUCAAAUCAUCUGGUAAAUGACCGUAACUCAACUCAAGCGUCUUCAUGCAGUAUUCAUCAUCAAGGACAAUACUGGAAGUUAGACUCUUUGUAACUUCUUCCCAGCAGUCUUCUGCAGUAUUAGCAAGAAUUCCAGCAACAAGGACAACCGUGAGAGGUAAGCCCCUACAAGAUUUUGCUAUUUGAGAAGCAACUCCACUUAGUCUUGGAGGACAACCUUCUUUGCCAAAUAGCUUUUUCUGUAGCAAAUUCCAACUCUCUUCAUCGGUAAGGCAGCGGAGAUGGUGAACCUUGCUAUGAGGUUUGAAUUGCAGAGACAAAUUCUGCAACCUGCUCGUGAUGAGAAUCCUACUUCCAUUGGCGUCAUCGGGCAAUGAUCUCUCCAACAAAUUCCAAGUCUUAGCAUCCCACAAAUCAUCCAAAACCAAGAGGUACUUAUUUCUCAACAAAACUUGUUUUAGCUUUACAGCCAAAUCAUGUUCAUCCAUCUUUCGACAUUGUUCAAGUUUUCCAGAAUCAAUACUAUCCAAUAUCUGAACUAACAUGUUGUGCAUACUAUAUGCUUGAGAAACAGUGCACCAAGCACGAAUAUUGAAAUGCAACAUUACUGAUGGAGAAUUGUAAACUAUAUUGGCUAAUGUGGUCUUACCAAGCCCAGGCAUACCCACGAUGGGAACAACGUCCAACUGCCUUGAUCCUCCUCUUGUAAAAUUAUCAGUGAUAGUUUUCACCUCGUCAUCGAGAGGCACCAGCUCUUCAUUGUACGCGGUGACAGUAACUUGUGAUGGCACGCGAGUGAAAGUCUUGGUAACUCCCUUGAUGGUUUCACCAACAUAGCUUAUGCUAUCAUAGAUCUCUUGAGCCUCAAUCUUCAUAACAUUGAUAUCUCUAGCAACAUCAUCCAAAAAAAAUUCACAUCCAUCACCAACAAGUGUCCAGUCG